Molecule: long non-coding RNA, 48524 nt
Filed under: Malus domestica (apple)
Lineage: Eukaryota; Viridiplantae; Streptophyta; Magnoliopsida; Rosales; Rosaceae
Description: long non-coding RNA (MDOM_LNC007370)
Source: RNAcentral
AAACCGGUAAGCUCACCUUUAGCCAAUCAUAUCAAGUUGAGCAAAGAGUCGUGUCCAAAAACAUAUGAAGAAAAGGAGAAAAUGGCAGUUGUUCCCUACUCUUCAGCAGUAGGAAGUAUCAUGUAUGCAAUGGUGUGCACACGACCAGAUAUUGCUCAUGCAGUAGGUGUGGUGAGCAGGUUUCUCUCUAAUCCAGGGAAGGACCACUGGGAAGCCGUUAAGUGGAUUCUCAGAUAUUUGAAGGGGACUUCUAAGAUGUGCUUGUGCUUUGGCGGUUCCAAACCAAUCUUGGAAGGAUUUACAGAUGCUGACAUGGGAGGUGACCUGGAUGGUAGAAAAUCUACGUCUGGGUACUUGUUUACUUUUGCAGGGGGAGCCGUGUCUUGGCAAUCCAAGUUACAAAAGUGCAUUGCUUUGUCCACAACCGAGGCUGAAUACAUAGCCGCUACAGAAGCAUGCAAGGAGUUGUUGUGGCUGAAGCGGUUUCUCCAAGAGUUGGGUUUGAAGCAAAGUGAUUAUGGCGUUUAUUGUGAUAGUCAGAGUGCUCUGGAUUUGAGCAAGAACACUACAUAUCAUUCACGCACUAAGCACAUUGAUAUUCGUUAUCACUGGAUUAGAGACGCUAUCGAGAACAAGUUGCUACAGCUGAAGAAGAUUCAUACCGAUAAUAAUUCUUCAGACAUGUUGACAAAGGUGGUCACAAAAUCAAAGUUGGAAUUCUGCAUUAAGGCUGCUGGGAUGGACUCCAGGUAACUUGGAGUCAUGAUCGGAAUUCCUCCCUCAUGGACUGGAGGGGGAGAUUGUUGGUAUAUGGUCCAGCCCAUGAUCAAUGUUCUAGAUUAUUCUAGUAAGCAAGAGAGAUGGCUGGAGCAUGCUAGACAAUUCUAGCAUGUUAUUAAGUUGAUGGAAGAAGCUAGAGAGUACUAGCUUCCUUGGUUGCAAAUGGAAAGAUCUAGAAGCCACACUUUUGUGGCUAGUCUAGAUCUUUCUAUGCUAGAGGUUUGAAGAAUACACUAGAAAACUAGUAGAAUGCCAAACCCUCACCUAUAAAUAUGGGUGUGAUGUUGUAGUGAACCAACAAAUCAAGAGAGUAGUGAGUAGCAAAGGAUCAAGUCCAAAGCUAGAGUUCCACUCCAAGAGUGAGAGUGAGAGUGUUCCACUACACAUUGUGUGAGUGAAGUUUAGUGUGAUAGAAAGUGUGUCCUACUUUCUUGUAUCCAUCAAGCCUUGUCUUUGGCUUGGUAAGACUACUCUUGUUGUACUCAUCUUUUCAUAUAGUGAAGAUUGAUCCUUGUUUGGUGGACGUAGGCAUAAAUUGCCGAACCACAUAAAUUUUUGGUGUCCAUUUUCUACUUUACUUUGUGCAUUCUCUAUCUUGUAGUACCGACAUUCCUAACAAUUAGUACUAUCUGGUGUCCUAUACGGUGUGCCAAACAGGGCCUUAGAUAGGUGCCAUUUAAGGGUGUAGAUGGAGGUCAGCUACUUUGUGUUGUUAGCAUUGACCUAAAUGAUGAAACAUGGGUUAUUGCAUAUGCAGUGGCAAAAAUGGAGAAUAAGAAAGCUUGGAUUUGGUUCCUACAGUUGUUGGCCGAAGAUGUUGGCAUUGUCAAUCAACAUAAGUGAACAUUUAUCAGUGAUAAGAAAAAAGGAUUAGUUCCAGCCUUUCAAAAAGUACUCCUAAUUCCCACCACAGAUUUUGUGUGAGACAUUUGUACACCAACUUCAUAAAUUUGUUCAAGUGGAAGACUUUGAAAGAUGCUUUAUGGGCAAUAGCCAGAACAACAACAGUUUCCCACUUCAAAAAAACAAUGGAGGAUAUGAAAAGGUUGGAUAAAAAUGCCUACAAAUAGCUGCUGAAGAAGCCUGCAAAUCAGUGGAGCAAGUCUCAUUUUGAUUCCUAUCCAAAGUGUGACAUGUUGCUUAACAAUUUGUGUAAAAGUUUCAAUGCUGCCAUACUUGUGCCAAAACAAAAACCUAUAAUUAGGAUGCUACUCCAUAUUCACACAUUGUUUAUUAAGAGAAUUCAAAUGAAGAGGGACAUAAUGGCGAAGAAAGUUGGAGAUAUCUAUCCUAAAAUAAAGAAGAAGUUGGGGGAAGCCAAAAUUUAAAGUGGUAGGUGCAUUGCACAAUGGUCAGGAGGGGCUAAAUUUCAAGUUGAAGCUGAAAGGAGGAACAAUAUGUGGUUGACUUGGUGGAGAAGACAUGUUCGUGUAAAAAGUAUGGCUUGACAGGAAUCUCAUGCAACCAUGCAAUAACUGCCAUAAAUUUUAAGAGACAACAACUUGAGGAUUAUGUGGAUGCUUAUUAUUUGAAGACACGGUAUUUGGAGGUGUAUUCUCAUUUAGUAAUGUCGAUGAAUGGGAUGUCUAUGUGAAAGGAAAAUGAAAACCCUCCAAUAUUGCCUCCAACAUAUACAAGGCAACCUGGAAGACCGAGGCUGAUGAGAAACAAUGAAGCUGCUGAGAGGGAAAAAGAGGUCGAACAAACUCCCACAAACCCAACCAAUAAUCCUCAAGGUUCUCCUCAGCCACUGAAGCUAGGAAGAAAAAGGCAAGGCACUUUGAAAUGUACCAUAUGCAAACAUGAAGGCCAUAAUGCAAGGACUUAUCAUAGACACCUUCCUCUAAGGGACAAAAGGGUAACAUUUUGUACUAUGUGGAUUUUUUAAAUUGUUUUAAUCUUAAACUCUAAAUCCUUUCUGACAUGCCCCAACCCCAGUAUCCCCAAAUAUCAAGUUAGGUACGUGCUAGUUGACACCUAAAGGUGACGAAGCCAUUUUAAACAUGCAUAUAACUAAAAUGUAUGCAAUUAGAACAAUUAUACCAAAGCAGGAACGUGUUCAGAGCAUACAACUAACUAAGAAUAAUAUGAAAGAACUACUAGGAAAAGAUACGAACAAGGGAAUGAUACCUAUACUGAGGAGACUCGAGGGUACCUAUGCUGUAGAGUUCUGACGCCGGGAUCAUGUGCCUCGAUCCUAACUCAUGAGGGGAUGCAAAAAUAGAAAAGGUGAGUGGACCAAAGUUUAUAAUAAUAAUAUUAAUAAUAGAAAAACCGUUUUCUUUAUGAACAUAGUAACCCCCUAUUUUGAAAACAUAAAUAAUACUACAUAUAGGUUUUAUAAAAACCCUAGUAUGCUGCGCAAAACUUUCGUAAAACAUGUACGUGUAAAACCAUGUUCAAAAAUGCUGAAAACGUCGCCCAAAGGCAAAUCCAUAAAUCUCAUCAGUGAAGUACUCAACUAAAGGUAUCAUAGUUGCCCGAAGGCAGUACCUGUCCAUCACCCCAAGGUGAAGCUGAAUACUUGUGCAUCACCUGUAGGUGAAGCUGAAUCAAAUAGCAUAACAUCCACACCGACACUAGCCGUGGCUAGUGAAGCUGUCCGACAUCGCUUUCGACAGUGAAGCUGGGGGUAUAAUAUAUAUCAUAACUCACUCCUCCAUCAUCUGUGUCCUAUGGCCAUAGACAUUUAUACCCGUUGUGUACGGAUGUGCCAUAUGAUUACCCACUAGGUAAGUACUGAAAACAUAUCUCAAAAUCUCAAGCCAAAUCACCAAAUCUCAAGGGUUCAAAAUCUCAUUUCAUAAAUCGUAUAUAAAAACAUAUUCGUAAAUCCAAUGAGUUUCAUAUAUGCAAUUCCAAUCAUUCAUAUCCGCUCGUAAAAAUGUAAUUUCAAUAAAUCAUAAUAUUUCGUAAAGCAACUUAAUUAAAUCAUGGAUUCUACAUAAACCAUAAUUAUAGAAAUCCUGGAAACAUAAUAUAAAACAUAUUAAAUGCAUGAAAUAUGAAAUGCAUGCUAGGCUAAUAUUUUACAAAAAUAUAUAAGUUAAGAAAGGGUCAUCUCACAAGUUUUCCAUUGCCCGGAAGCCGCUCGAACUAUCGAGAAUGUGAUCACUUCCACCGAUGCACCUAAACACAAUUAAACGCCGUUUAAUAAAACUCUACAAAAACGUUGGAAUUUGGGAAUACGGAUGGCGGAAUCGGAUUCGGCAUGUGAGAAACCUAAGGAGGAAUCUCGGGUUUUUCCCCCACACGCCACCGCACAUGGCAGCCUGUCGCCCCAACUCACCAGAAAAUCAAACAACUCCAAAAAUUCCUAAAUUUUACAAGAAUGAAGAUCUUGAUACGAGGAACAACUUUCAUACAUGUGACUAAGGCCAAUUUGGCAGGGAAAAACCCUAAUUUCCGUUGAACCAGUCGGAAACCUUAAGUUGGGUGUUUCUUGAUUCGUCCUCAAAUCGACUCUGACGCUCCAACCAAUGAUUGGCCAUUGUUCCUGACCUUUAGGGGAGUGUUUUGGUGGUGGUAAUUGAACGAAAACGUUUCACAAUUGGAGGAUCAACGCCUAUACACCUUUGGACCCAUCGAUGUUCCAUCGCUCAAUCGAGGCCUAAAUCUCGUCGGGUUUGGUUGGAAAUUGAAGGAAAAGUGGCGGGGAAAUGAUUUGGCAGUGGUGAGAGCUUUAAUUUGCUCGGAAAACACCACAAAGGCUUCGGAAAUGGACGCCGGCUGAACUGGAUCGGGGUGAAAGAAACAAGUUAAAGGAAGAAGUUUUUGAUUGGGUGUUUCCUCACCUCUCUCAUUUCCCUCCAUUAUCUCAUUUCUGAUUGGGUAGCUCCUUCCUCUCCUCUCUUCUAAUUGGCCAACACUCGCCCUCAUUUCUUUCCUUUAUUUCUUCUAUCCUCCGUCCAUAUCUGAUUUCUUUCAAUCUUGGCCACACACGUGGCAUCAACUAAUUUCUCCACCAAAAUCUGGAGCCUUCCAUAUUUAUGCUUAAAUGACCAUUUUGUCCUCAACUUCGUUCGUUAAUAACUCAUUCGUUAUAACUCCAAAUUACGAUAUGUUUGCACCCAUGCGUUCGUAACGACGAGUAAUACAAGUAUACGCCAAGAAAAUGGAUCUUACGUGACAUGACACCGCAGUCAACGAAAGUCAACACUUUGCCUCGAAGGACACUUUCGUAAAUUCACUUAUUAAAAUUAUAAAAACCGUAAAAUUGGGAACGGGUCGUUACACUUUCAAUUUUGAAUGAAACUUUGGAUUUAGUUAUAAACCUUGCUUUGUUUCUUACUGUUUGAAUGAACAACUGGUGUCAGGUCACGGUUAUCCACCCCUUCUGUACCCCAAGAGGCUAUGGAGACUUUCACCCUACCCGUGGCCACAGAAAAACAGUUCAUCUAACACUUUCAAUCUCUGAACCCACCUAGUAGGAUAAGACUUCGUUGUUGUUGUUGUAGCACUUUCAAUCUAACUAACUCUCUCUUAAUGCAAACAACCAUGGGUAGGUCAGUAGUUGGGACGAAUUACAAACUUGUAUUCCACAUGGCAUGUGCAGAGCUUAAUUUCUAGUACUGGUGAACUACAUAAAGGUGGCCAUGAAGAGUUUAAAUGUCUCUGUGAGCCUUCCCAACCCCUAAAGGGGUGGGUUGCCGUGAUAAAGUCAUUAGCUAGCCCCCCUUAAAUUGGAAAAAAAAAGAAGCUCUUAAUGCAAAGGUUUCAAGGAUUUUUUUUAGGAAGAAAAUACUAGAAUUCUUAUUGAUUUGAUUUUGAGGAAAACACAAUUUUCUUUGGAGCCUAAAAUCAAUUGUGCAAGAUUUUCACUCUCUUUUUCAAAACUUUGAAUUUGCUAGUUUUCGUCAUGUCUACUAUGAAUUGAACUUUUACAAAAUAUGCAUUAGCUCAUCUCUAUACAUAAAGCCAAAACUGUUGUGAAUAGUAUUUUUUUGGGUCACAAGCUUCACCAAAAAAUAAGUGGACAAAAAUGCCCCUCAAACAAAAAAGUUCAAAAGCAAUCCAAAAUAAUGCACCAAAUAAUACAGGAGUAUUUUCGUCAUAUAAACAGUGUUUGUUUAAUAAUUCAUUCUUUUUUUACAGUUUAUUUUUGGUACAAUAAUUUUUUUUAAUUAGUACCUCACAAAGACUAGCAAUAAUUUGAUUCAAUCAGUUGUUUAUUAAAUAUUAUUUUCUCUAUUUUUAAACACGAUAAAAACAUUUUAAGAGGUGAGUAGUGUCGGUUAUAAAAAAAGGUUUUUCACACGCGCAUAAUAAUGUGAUUAAAUUAGUUGUCAAAUGAUUGUUUUUUUUUUCUUCGAACAAACAAUAUUAUCUACACUAAGGGGAAGGGGUGGGCUUUGCCUCACAAUAGGCUAGCAAUAAUAUGAUUUAAUUAGUUGUUUAUUAAACAUUAUUUUCUCUAUUUUUAAACACGUUCAAAACAUCUUAAGAGCACGUGUAAUGCUAGUUAUAAAAAAUGUAUUUUGCACGUGCAUAAUAAUGUAAUUCGAUCAGUUGUCAAAUGAUUAUUUUUUUUCUUUUCGAACAAACGAUAUUAUCUACACUAAGGAGGAGGGGUGGGCUUAGCUUCACAUUGGGUUAGCAAUAAUGUGAUUCAAUUAGUUGUUUAUUAAAUAUUAUUUUCUUUAUUUUUAAACACGUUCAAAACAUCUUAAGAGUCGCGUACCGCCGGUAAUAAAAAAAGGUCUUUCACACGCACACAAUAAUGUAAUUCAAUCAGUUGUAUUAUUUUCUCUAUUUUAAACACUUAAAAGGCACGUAGUGCCAAUUAUAAAAAAUAAAAAAUAAAGGCAUUCGGCACGCGCAUAAUAAUGUGAUUUAAUUAGUUGUCAAAUAAUCAUUUUUUAUUUUUUUGAACGAACGAUGUUUUCUACACUAAGUGGGAGGGGUGGGCUUAGCCUCACAAUGAGCUAGCAAUAAUGUAAUUCAAUUAGUUGUUUAUCAAAUAUUAUUUUCUCUAUUCUUAAUGUAAAUUCAAUAGAAUGUAGAUGAAAAUUGAAAGACCGAUUUUAUUAUAUAGAUUCAGCUGUUUUUAUUGGUUUAUGAAUGGUUUCUUCUAGCAUGUUCGAAUAUUAUUCAUUUACUUCAAAUAUUUGACUUUUUUUUGUCAUAAAAAAAUUAUUUAAGCAAUCAAUGCAUAUAAAUACAUUUAAAACAUGUAAGACAAGCGUAGCACGCCAUGGUUCAAAAAAUGCCUUCUGCACACGUGUGAGCGCAUGCAUGAAGACUAGUUAUAGUUAUGUUGUGGUUAAUUAUAACAGUAAUAUGACUCGUUUGGAAGUGUCUUUAAAUAAUUGAAAAUGCUUUUAGUGAAAUUAAUUUUAAGUUCCAAAGCACUUUAAGUGUUUUUUUUUAAGAAGCACUAGGUAUGUGCUUCUUGCAGAAAACACUUAUAGUGCUUUUCCAAAAUCUACUUGGAUUUUUACUAAGGAUUGGUAACAAAAAUAUUUACAACAAAAGUACUUUAAGUUAUUUUAAAAGCACAUUAAAACGAGCUCAUAGAGGUAUAGUCGUGAUUUUUUUAUAUUAAUUUAGUGUUUUUAAUGAAAAAAAUAACUAUUAAAAAAUUAAGUAAAUUAAAGAAAAUCAAAAAAUAUUUAUAAUCUUACAUAAACAAAAUCGAGAUUUAGGAAUAAUAACAAAAACAAUUUAGCCCUUAAAAUACGAGAAAUUUUUCAUUAUAAUAAGAACAGGAAUGAUACAUUACAUAUUUUUAUAUAAGUGUUUUGAAAUUUUAUUUUUUAAGUUAUUAACUUUUUAACAUACAUAUCUCAUCAUUUAUAUAAUAACACAUGAUGUAUCAAUUCGUGUUCCGAUCAUAUUAAAAAAUCUCUCCUAAAAUAUUAGGUGACACAUCGGCAUCGACGGCGUGAAAAGUCAGUGAAGCAGCUUAACUGGGGAAUCAGAAGAGGGAGCGGGAGAAAAAGACAAAUUCGCACCUGAAGUGGCGGGUAACCUCUUAAAAACACUUCAAACUUCUCAAAUCUUCCAGAGGAAAAACCCUAACGUACCAAAUCCAAUUCCCACAGUGCGAUAGAAAUGGACGACGAUCGAAUUCUGGCGCGAGAGAGGCGGCAGAUGGAGGAGAUCCGACAACUCGAUCUCGAAGAACUGCAGGUCGAAGAGGUCGACGAAGAUGACUCCUCCGGCGACGACCGCGACGCCACGUAAUCAUCAUUUCCCCUCUCCUCCUUGCUAACUCUUCAGAAUUUCAUUUCAUUUGAUUAAUUUGGAAACUAGGGCUUCGAAUUCUUCUGUGACGAGUAGCUAACUCAAGUUUGAUAUUUUAUGUUUUUAUCUGUUUUUAUCAGAGUUGUUAUUUGAUCAUAUCAUUUGUUAUUCCUUUUUUCUAUAAUGACAGUAAAAUUGAGAUGAAAUUUUGUGUUUUUAUUUGAUUAUGUCACUAAUUUGUUGAAUUUGUUAUGGAAAUUUUGACAGUGGUGGUCGCGGCCCGUCUGAUGACUAUGCUUUCGAUACCUGUUUGGCUUCGUUGCAUACGUAUCUCGGUGGUAGGUAUUUGGUCUUUUGCCUGUGUUUUUAUACUGAUUUGUCCACAAUUUUCCGUUCAAAGUGUUGAUGUUUGGUUAAUUUUGAUUGAAACAGAGGUUGAAGACACUCAUCAUAGGGUGGCUUUUCUGGAUGGGGGCGCCGUCUUGAAGCUCCCUAUUUUUUAUCUCGAAGGUUCUAUCAUUUUACGUUUGAUUGUUAAGUAAUUUCAAACUUCAGUUACUCGUUUUGGUAGCUGUUGAAUUAUGUUUGGCAUUUUAGCGUAACUGCAUUAGCCAUAGGUGUAAGCCAUGCGGUGCAAAGUCGUAUAGCCAUUUUGGUAGUAAAGAAAAGUUGUUCAAGAAAAUAAUUGAAUGUAUCAUGGAAUAAAUUGCUGGUUGAGACUGAGAGACAGUUAGAUCACUAGCUUAUUGUAAAAAACAAAAGACUGUCAUGUGAAUGCUCUCUGUCAAUAAAGUUCUUCGGGAGAGAUGCUACAAGAGCCACCUCCCGUAACAUCAUUGUAUCUUAAGUUUUUAGUUGCUUAAUAAAAUUAGCUUAAAAAAUCAAUAGAAGCAAGUAACUGCUAGUCCUAAACGUUUUUGCCCUAAUGAGCAAGUUGAAUGGACUAGAAAUAGAAGAGAAUCAAAGUGAAGUCUGCUGUUGGUCUUGUUUUUGUCAUCAUUUUACUCAUAUUCUUGUAUGUUUGUAUAAAAUACUUUUUUUUUUUUUACUUAAAGAGAACUUGGUUUCUUCUACAUUCUAUAUGCAGGAGUUGUCCUGUUCCCAGAAGCAACCCUUCCCUUAAGAGUCAUUCAACCCAGUUUUGUACUUUCUAUUGAGAGAGCACUAAACCAAAUUGAUGCUCCUUGUACCAUUGGUGUGGUAGGUGAACUCCUUGUGACAACUUUUGACUUGUUUUGCCCCUGGAUUGUUACGUACUGUUUCAUUGUUCUUAACCCUGAAAUUUUGUUCAGAUUCAUGUAUUCAGAGAUAAUGGAAGAAUAAGGUUUGCAAAUGUUGGGACAACCGCAGAGGUAUAUUUAGUUUAUUCUACUGCUCAUAAGUAGAAACUGUUAUUCAACCUACGCUAUUUCUUUUAUAACUGCUGGAUUAUUCAACUUUUUAUAUUUCUCCUUUUAUAGAUUCGGCAAUAUAGACGAUUAGAGGAUGGCUCACUGAAUGUGGUAACUCGUGGCCAACAGAGAUUUCAUCUAAGACACCGUUGGAUUGAUGCGGAAGGAGCGGUUAGAAAAAUUUUAUGUUUGAGAGAGAUUGAUUGUUUGUUAUCCAUUUCAUUUUUAUUUGGUCAUAUUCAUUUAUGUAAUGUCUUAUUUGGUGUGAAAUUUUCAUUUUUCAGCCAUGUGGGGAAGUUCAAAUCAUCCAGGAAGUUAUACCAUCGAGGGUCCCAAGGGAUGCAUUCGGAGAUUUGGCACCAUUUAGUAAUCCAAGAGGCCACAAAUUCUCACUUAAACUGCCUUCAAAUGAUUCUCGUGCAAAGUCAGUUGGAUCUAUGGAUGUGGACAAUGAUUCAGAGGCAAAGUCAGAUGAAAGCUUUGAGAGUACACUGUCAUUCACUGAGAGAGAAAUCCACCAAUCUGCAAUUGGUUCCUAUUCUGGAUCUGAUACAAUGGACGAAUCAACAACUUCAAGUAGUGAUGAUGAGAAAUCGCAGUUACAAUUGCAAUCAAAAGACUCUGAUUCUUCAGCUUCAUUGCAUUCAUGCCCUGAGAUUAGUAAUGUUGAUUUGGCAAGUAGUUCCAUGUCAGACAUGCAAUCCAGCAAACAGGAAGAGCCAAAUAAAUGUUGGAGAAAUAUGGACUUAAAUCAGUUUCGUAGAGUUCCAAGAGCAUUUUGGCCCCAUUGGGUAUACCGCAUGUAUGACUCCUAUUGUCUUGCUCAAAGAGCAGCAGGUAUUUGACUUUACUUUGGGUUCACACUUGAUGUUCGAAAAGUUGUGAUCCUUAAUGUAUUAGAAGAUAUUACAACUUUAUAGGACUAGAAAUGAAAAAGGGUCAGGCACUUAGAUAGUAAGUUUUAUAUGUUAAUGUUAACUGAAAACAUUUCAUUACAGUUUCCAGAUUAAUUGUAUAAUGGAUGUAAAACAACCUUAGAAUAUUGUCUGAAUUUGGAAGAAUUACAAAGGAAAAUUGCAGAAUAUAAUUAAUGCUUGACAUUUCGAUAUUUAGUUUUAUCGGGUAAUUGGUAGAUAUGCUGUGUGAUGUCAUGUUUGUGUGUGCAUUUCUUAUUUCGGGUGUCUUAACUUUUUGUAAUGAUCUAUAGUGAAUUGUCUGGUGAUAAUGGCAGUCAUUAUGCACUGUAAACAGUUAUGUAAUGAUAUUUUUUAAAUGUUAUAGCUAAACAUUGUUGGUGCUUACUAUUUAUGUGUUCAUUAUCUUGCCAUUGUUUUUGUUGCUUAGUGUCCACUAUAAUCUGAAUUUGCAGCAGGGGAAAUGAUCUUGCUUUUGAUCCUUUGAGGAAGCAUUUAGAAUCAAUAUAAUUGUGACGUUAUUUGAUUCAUAGAAUAUGCAACAAAUUUUUAAUUAUGGUAUACGUGCUAAAAAUGUUUAGCAUUUUGCAACAUCCUUUUAAUCAGAUGAAAAAUGGAGUUUAAGGAUUCAGCUUUACAGAGUUUGUGAGUUUCUUGUAUUGCAGAGAUGUGGAAACAGAUAGUUGGGGCACCAAGCAUGGAUCGUCUUGUGAAGAAACCUGAUCUUUUGUCAUUUUUUAUCGCUAGUAAAAUUCCUGUCUCGGAAGCUACUAGGCAGGAGCUUUUGGAGAUUGAUGGCAUUUCAUAUAGGCUGCGUAGAGAAAUUGAGUUGCUUCACAGUUUUGAUCUUAUCCGGUGUAAAACAUGUCAGGUAAUGUACUUGCGUCAGAACACUGCGUGUGUGCCUGUGUGCAUGCAUUCAAAAGUAUAUACCCUUUGCCCAUUAUAUGUUUAUUGACUUUUGUGUGUGUAUCUGUGUGUACACUCAUGUUUUUGGGUACACAAUGCAGACUUUCAUUGCAAGGCGGAGUAAUAUGCUGGUGAUGUCAAGUGAAGGUCCUUUUGGUGCUUACGUGAACCCAAGUGGUUGCAUUCAUGAGAUAAUGACUCUCUACAAAGCAAAUGGCUUGGCACUUAUAGGGCCAGCAGUGAGUGAAUACAGCUGGUUUCCUGGGUAUGGACCUGUACCUUAAUAUUCUUCUGAUUCUCUGACCAAUUUACUAUCUUAAAGAACGCUAAUUUUUAUGCAUUGUCGUAAACCUUUUAGCACACUGAUUGUCCUUAACUUGGUCUUUUUCCCUUUUGAUGGGUUUUCAAAGCACAGAGUAAUAAUUUUUUUUUAGUCUGUGUGAAAUGAAAAUCAUAAGGAUUCGAAGUUAACUCACAAAACUGUUGGAAGUUCGUAAUACUAAAACAAAUAAAAACAAACGUAGAUCAUGAUCAUAAAUUAUAUGGAAUGACUGGAACUUAUCAGGUAUGAAUAAAAUCGGUAUCUAGCUGCAAUGAUAUGAUAGUGAAUUUAAGGCAUCUGUUCGGUUAUAAUAUUCACAUCUUUUAAAUCUCUGGAAAUCUGUCACUGUAUACUUGUAUAGUAAGUUACUUCAAGGUAGGUUUCAUAAAGCUUGAUCAUUAUCUCUGAUUUAAAUGUGAUUAGAAUUUUAGUACUACGAAGUUGUUAAGUUGCCAGUUUGCUCACUUUUGCAGGUAUGCGUGGACAGUAACAAACUGUGCCGGCUGCGAAACCCAAAUGGGUUGGCUAUUUACAGCCACAAAAAAGAACUUGAAGCCGAAACGUUUUUGGGGAAUUCGGAGUUCCCAAGUUUCUGAUGACCUGCACUAGUAAGUCUAAUGACCUGCACUAGUAAGUCUAAUGUAUCUCAAACAUGUAAUUGCUUGCCUGAAUUUACUGUUACCAUGUAACGAUUUUGAUUUGUAUAGCUACAUGUUCCUAUCUGCAAAUUAAUAACGUUCCUCUGAAUCUACAUAAACGAUGUACCUUGUUCUCGCCAAUAUUCUACAAUUCAUAUAUCGGAAGUGUAGUUCUUAUCUUUUUUCAGAAUUCUUUCCGGGUUAAGAAACUUUGUCGAUUUUUUGUUGAACUUCAUCAAGUUGCAAGUGUUAUAUGUUGGAUUAGUAUUUUAAUCAUUCUGAGCUGAGUCUGGCGUUAGUUUCUCUAUCGAAAACAUGUUGCAUCUAGAAUUGGAAACAACAGUGAUGCUUCUCCUUAGAAGUGAUUCUGACAAUCUCAAAAUCACUUCCGAACGAGUCCUAUGUCAAGUCAUCAAAUGGUAAGAGGUGUUUACAAUCGAUUUUUGCUCCAUUUUAUGGCAGAAAAAUCAAUAUAAUCUUCCUAAAUUGGAAGAAAAAAUAACCAAAACUUGGCAAGUUCUAGUGGAAAUAAAGCUAGGAACAAAAGUGCCCUCCUACCAACAAAACAACCAAAUGAAUUCAAAUUACUAGUGUUAAAAAAAAUGGUGGAUCGUAGAAGUUGCAGACCACGAAACAGGCGGAAUUCAACGGUAACUUCUGUAGCGCGGGCUGUACAUGCAGCUCUCUGCAUACUUCACGAGAUCUUUUGGUCGAGGAAGAUUAGAAGCCAGACCUGAAACCAAAUCGAAAACACGAACUUUAGUAAGAUGUGUUACAGUACAGUACUUGUUACGAACACAGAAAGAAACUUACCGAGUUCAUAGACCUUAGCAGCGACCUUAGCUGCAAUGUUGGCUGAUAUCUUUCUGAUGUUGGUAAAUGGCGGGUAGAUCAUUCCUUUGGCGUAGUGUUCCUCGGAAACUUGCGUAGCCAGAGCUUCAGCUGUCACGAAAUCAAAUGAUUUAGAGGAUUUUCGCAGAUAACAAAGAGAAUCGGUGUUCAUUUGAAGGUUAUCGUUUGUGUACUUACAGGCUGCCAAAAGCAUGUCAUCGUGUACACGAAUGGCACCAGCCAUGAUCAAUCCCAGGCCAAAACCGGGGAAUAUGUACGCGUUGUUGGCCUGAAUGAUGUGGUUAGGCGAAAGUAAGAUCCUCGUGUCUUCAAAUGAAGAGAGGUAUUCAUAACAAGAAGAGUUGCUUGAGUUGGAAGGUACAAACCUGGCCAGGCACUAGGAGUUUGUUCUCGUAUUUGACAGGAUCAAAUGGACUUCCACUGCCAAAGAUUGCUCGACCCUUCAUAUGAGAAAAACGAUGUGAUUGUUAAAUAGGGUUCUGCUAGUUUAUCUAGCCGCGUUAUAACCCCAACGAAAAUUAGAGAAAAGAGGAAGAGGAAGAAAGAAAGAGCAGAUUGAUUACCUUUGUCCACGCGUAAGCUUCUUCAGCAGUACACUCAGCUUGCGAUGUUGGGUUGGAAAGAGCAAGGAUAAGUGGUUUCUGCAGUGGCCAAACACCUGAUCAAUGUCACUUAUGUUGAUCAUUGUAUAUGUGUGUGUGUGUGUGUGUGUGUGUGUGUGUGUGUGUGUGUGUGUGUGUGGUGUGUGUGUGUGUGUGUGUGUGUGUUAGAGAGAGAGAGAGAGAGAGAGAGAGAGAGAGAGAGAGAGAGAGAGAGGGAGGGAGGGAGGGAGAGACCGAACCUUAUUCAAGGACGCCAUGGUCUCAACGACCUCCUUCGUGAACUGUUUUCCCACACCAGAUGUUCCUAUCAGCACUGUUGGCUUGAUUGCCUGAUGAAAAACGGAUGUGUAAGAUAACAGGAGGAGAUAUUGUUGAAAGACAUUGUUAUGUUCAAGUAUAAUUUCACACCUUCACGGCAUCUACAAGUUCCUUUAUUGGUUCAUGAUCAUGAGCCCAGGGCUGCUUAAAGUGUUGAAGUGAUCCUAGACGAGAUUUAACAAUCAGUCCCUGUAAAGAAUGUAAUGCCUCUAUUAUAUCGAAAAACAAAGUAAAAGAAACUGGAAAAGAGGAAGAUAAACUGAUCAAAUGCAUAUGUCGAAAGGAAGAAUUUGAUCAGAUUUUAAGUACCUUAGAAUCCACAAGCCAAAUCUUCUUGCGAGCUUUUUCCAAUGGAGCGCCGGUCUGCCAAGAUGAAUACACAUCGUUAAUCACAAAUGCUUAGCUGAAGAAAGCAUUUACGGGGAGAACAGGCGGUUUGAGGUAAGCAAGUUUAUACCUUUUUUGAUAUCUCAAGAGCUAUAAGCUCUGCUAUUCCGGUUCCAGCCUUCAGUAGCCAAGAAGCAAAGUCAAAAACAUCCAAAAACCAGUGCAUUUAUGAAUAUACAGACUGAAUAGUUUUCAAGCCUCACCUCUCCAGCACCCAGAAAUAAGAAAGUAUGGUCAGCUAAUGUUCCACCAAGUAAUUUCAAGGAAGCUAUGAGCCCUGCUAAGACCACAGAUGCCGUUCCCUGAACCAAUUUGAAAGAAAAUAGUUGUAAACAUCCAGGGAAGCAAGAUUGCUAGCUGUGAAACGAAAGUAUAAUAUGUUACCUGAAUGUCAUCAUUGAAGACAAGGUGAGUCUUGCUGUAUUUAGCCAGCAGUUCAAAUGCAUUGUGGUUUGCAAAAUCUUCGAACUAAAGAAGGAACAAGAAAGAAAUAGCAAACGAUAAUCUGGUUAUUCAGAGGAUGAUGAAACCACGUGGACAGAAGAGUUUCAUAAACAUAAUUACAUGAAGGAUAGGAAAGACUUCUACCUGAACUAGGACUUUCUCCCCAUAAUUCUGCUUAACUGCAGUCAUGAAUUCUUCGAGAAGCUCCGCAUAUUCCUAAAUCACAAAGGUAAAAGACCACCUCAAUUUUACAGAAACCAUAUAUUUCACAUAGUUAAAACUUCUUAAAACGACGGUGACUUAUAAAGUAAAACACAAGACCAAUGUGAAAAAAUAUUUAACCUGUCCAGUUGCUCUCCUUUGCUUAAUCCCAAUGUAAAACUCAUCAUUCAGCAACUUCUCGUUGUUUGUUCCAACAUCGAUGGUUAUAGGCAAGCACUGUAAACAAAAACACAGAUUGUAAAAUUUCUGAAUGUACAGGCAAAAUUUUCUGUUGCUCUUGUUGUUGAACUCAAAGAAAGGGGGCAACAGUUGGGGAAAUGCUUACCGCUGAAGGAGGAACUCCUCCGAGUGCAGUAUACAAAGAGAGCUUUCCAACAGGAAUCCCCAUGCCCUGAAAAUUUCGGAACAUUCAUGUUAAUUAAGGUGACAAUGAUUCAACCAAAGACAAAGGCAACAAUUCCAAAUGAAAUAUGUAAUGGAUUUAAACGAAACAGUUCAAUACUGUAUAUGUACAUAACAACUGAGCAGAAUCUGCAACAAAUACCUGGCAGCCAAGAUCACCUAGCCCCAAAAUACGCUCCCCAUCAGUCACGACAAUAACUUGAAUACCCCUGUCCGGCCAGUUCUUUAGUACUUCAAGGAUCUUUCCCCUGAAAAGUUCGCCAAUCAAUAUAUGUUUGAUACAUAUUCAACUAAACAUGAGAGAUUUAGUAAAAACGUUAUCAGAUAGCCGUACUUCUCUUUCAAACUGAUGUAAAGACCCUGAGGAUGCCUGAAAAUGCUCCCAUAUUUUUGGCAAGCCUCACCAACUGUUGGCGUGUACACAACAGGAAGCAGUUCCUCAACAUUGUCAAUCAAAAGCUUAUAAAACAGCCCUUCAUUUCUCUCCUGCACAAUAAAACAAGAACGCCACCAGAAAAGAAGCAAAAAUUAGUGACGACGACCCUGUUUGAUAACAACUGUGAUUCACAAUGAUCUCAAGCACUGAUAUAGAGCCUGUUCAAGCAGACAAUUACCUGAAGAUCCAUCAUGGCAAUGUACCUAUGCAACGGAACUUCAUAUUGGCGAAGAUUCUGCAUCAACUUCUUCUCCUGGGUCAUUAUGGCACAAAGUUUAGCCGAAAUUUGAACAACAAAAUGAAUCGCUGAAAAUGAAACGGAAGGACGAAAAUGAACUUUGAGGUAAGGUCAUUUUGCAACCUGAAGCUCCUGGGUUAGGACGGUUGGAGGCAGAAGGCCGCGCAAGUAAUGUGCAUCCCUCUCCUUCUCGGUGAAGGCAAGACCUUUGUUGUAGUGUGGAUCACGCAGCAAUGUGUAACCACUGCAACACGUUUACAUUGCAGAAGAUGCUUUAAAAAACAAACCAAAUUCUGCAUAUUUAACUUUCUGCGAGAUUAUUCAUUAACAAGAAACAUGGUUUUCAGCAGGUAUGGUAUAAAAAGAGAAAAGAAGCCUAAGGCUUAGUAAAACCGUAAAUAUACACUUAAAAACAUGGUUUCCGACCCUAAAAACUAAAAAUGAAAUGGUUAUCAAACGACCGCAAUAUCAAAAUAUCUCGAAUAACCAAACAUGAAAAAUUGAGAAUGUGGAUAAUUUUCUCACGAAAAUGAGCAUCAACAAACACAAAUUUCAAGGGAAAAAUAGGAAAAUUUAAAGAAAGUUAAAAUAAAUUUAAAACUUGCAUAAAAGGACAAUAAUAAGAGUUAUAAACUCAGUUGCAGACAAAAAUUCGUAACAAGGAAAAAGAAGCUCUGUGUGUGUUACCUGGCAACAGAGGCAGUCCAUGGUGUGAGAACCUGAUCCUCGGUGGCACAAUCCUCACCGUACACGUCCACAAUACCUCCACCAAAGCCAGCCUUACUUUCAACAUCCACCACUGAGUGGCCACCACCGUUGCUUAUCUCCUCCACUACGCUCCCCAUCAAAGCUCCGACCUUUUUUCGAUCUCCAAAUCCAAAACCCACCACUAUUCUCCUCUGCAAAUCACAAUGCAGUCCUCCAAUGAAACCCAGAAAACAAAAACAACCCAGAAACGAAAACAGGCAAAAGCUGCAAACUUUUUUGUGUUUUGCAAAACAAGAAACCUCCCACGUUUUAUAGGGGAAUAAAAGGUGGGAUUUCGGUUUGAACAAGACUUCCCUGCUGAAAUGUUCAGCAUGGGAAGUUAAUUCCUUUGGGUUUUACUUUCCUUCCUUUUUGGGAUUACAGAGGGUUUUAAAAACAAGGUAGGUUUCAUUGUCAAAGAGAACAGAACUACCCACGUGUGCUACAUUAUUCAACUAAAACAUGAAAACAAAUUAAAAAAAUUAAAAAAUUAAAAAAUACAACAUAUUUUUGAUAAUUUUUUAAAGGGUGUGCAUACCAGAACAUUAUGUCUCCUCCAGACUUCUUUGGCAGAGAAAAAUGAAUUCAUUUCUUCCUAAUCAAUCCUUUUUCUGAUAAAAAAAAUACGUCAAAGAGUAUAACUUGAGACAACGCCUAAAAUUCAUUCAUUGCUCAAUGCUCUUUAGACAAUGAUGUAAUGAUUUAUUUUGGUAACACGUUCUUUACUACCAAUGUUUUUUUUUAUAUAUAAUGAUACAGUCUAUUUUAAUUAAACACUACACAAGUAGAUACUACACAGUAACAUAACACCUACAAAAUACUUAAUAAAUCAUCAACCAAAAAUGCCCCGAUCACUAUCGACAAAAUGAUUUUUUACGUCAUGUUUGUUGAUACGUAAUUUGAUCAACUACUAAUUAAGGGUUUUGUUAUGCGCUUGUUGGUGACUUUCAUUCGUUGAUGUGAACUACAAUUCCACAAUCUUAAUGAACAAGAGUCACUUUUACACAUAACUUGUUUGUCACAAGCACUCAUUCAAUUAUUAAUUCCCAAUAUACAUUAUUAUUCAUUUUGAUUGUGCUUCCAAAAGCAAAAAUGCAUUAUUUUGAUUGAUAUUUUCCAUUUCAUUCCACAUACUAUCAAUUAUGCAUCUUCAAUGUUGCUGGAACCGAACGAUAUCCCACCAACCUUUUUGGCUUUCACAUGGCCUUAAAUAUGACCUAACCACUUAAUUAGACGUGAGAUGAUGUUUUCUUAAAAACUCAUAUGUUACAUGUGCUAAGAAGAUAUUUGCCACGAUCAAUUGAGCCUGAAUGCGUGAACGUUUUCUAACUACAAAUGCAUAUGUUUUUCAUAUAAAGUUUGCAACUCACAUACAUCAACGGUAAAAACAAUUGCUCAUGCGUGCGACUAUAUUGUCACUUUCUUCAUUCCCCAGCCUGCCCUACCACUCUACCAACAUGCUCAUCGCUUUAUCUUUCAUAAUUUGAUUUGAUCACCACAUGCCAUUAUAUUCUCCGCGUAAUAUCUACUUUUUUCUACCUUUUUCAUUUUCAAACAAGGUCUAGAAUCAUUCAACAAAAGGAAAAAACAUUAAUUAUCGAAAUUGACCAAUUCUUGGUAGUAGUUACUUUAUUCCUCUUUAAAAGAAAGGGAAAAAUAUUUUUGUGCAGUUAUUUGUGGGUAUACUACAAAAGAAUCUCUCGUAUUUAUACAAAGAGUUUUUUUAUGUGUAUCGAGAACACUCGUCAUCAUGUAUUACUUCUAAUUAUUACAAUGUAGUCAUGUUAGGAAGAUUAAUUUGUAAACUAAAUAUAUGCAAAUUAAAUGAUAGAUCAUCAAUAAGAAAUAAACAUAUUAAUUAACACUUAAAUAAUAAUUUAAUCUUCUAAUCUAUACAUUUAGCCUCUCUAGUAUACCCUACGAAAUAUUGCCAUAAAAUAAGUACACAAUAUAGUUUGAGUUAAAAGAACAAUAUCAUCACGUGUCGUCGUGUCGGUCUUCUGGUUAGGUCUAAAAUUCUCUGGUGCAAGUGGUGGAUGUGUUAUGCAUGUAUAAGCAUUGGCAAUAGCGUUCUGACUUCCUAAGGUGGUGACUGGUGAAGCUAUUAUCUGUUUGAAAUCCACUCAACCUGUUGUGCCUAUGGAGAAAUAUUUCAUUAUACGGGAACAACGUCUGGUAUACCUGGAUAAUAUCAUUUGGUACAUCAAGUAUUAUAGUAUAAUUAGUUAAAAAAAUUUCAAAAAUUUUCAAGCAGUUGUAUCCUUAUACUUGAUAUACCAGAUCGUACUUCCAAUACAUUGAAAAUUCUCUCGUGCCUUUGUAUCAAAGCUCGUAAUGGUGAACGAUCCGCACUUUCAUCUGUGGGAAUUUGACCGAGACCUGUCAAACAAGUUUUCUUUUCCUACUUUUGGAGAUUUUAUUUUUAUUUGUAGAGAAUAAAAUCCUAACUAUUUACGUAAGUAAUUUGUUUAGUUGUUUUGAUUAUAUGUCAUGCUCAUGCAAUUAUUCUCAAAUCAGUUAUAUCAUUAAAUAGGAGUUAGCUUGCAAAUCACAUUUGAGUCAUCUCAUUUAACAACUUAUUGUGUAGUAUUUGUUUAGUGGUGUGUAAGAAAACAAGUAUUUUAACAUGGGAUGUGCGGACCUUUUUACUUCUUAUACACCAUUUGUUGAUUUCUGUUUGUUGAUCUUCUUCAAUUCAUCUGAUCCGACGGCCGAAAUCCAAAAAGGUAUGGAAGAAGUAAAAAGGGGUGUGUGGAUAUUACACCCCUUUUACAUAAGGCAUUGUUUGGUGUUUAUGAUUCACUGAAAAUUGUUAACUCACUAGAUUCGAUAAAUGUUGAAUGAAUAAAUAUAUGCUACUUUGCAAUAUUUGUAAAUGUUGAAAUUAGACAAUAGAUUAAUUAUAAAUUAAACAAAGUUUAUCCUUCCAGUUCUACUAUUUUUGUUGGAAUAAGUUUUCUUUAUAGCUAAUCCAUCUUCUACUUUAUUUGGACAAAAUAUACAAUUGAGUAUUUAUAUUUUUGGUUCGGUAUUUAAUGAAUUAAGUGAUUUAUUCAAUUGAAGCUAAUCAUGGACAUCAAAAUAUGCGUAAGCUUAUUAUACACCGCGUGAUUAAUGAUUAUGAUACGGUCUGAUCCAAAAUCUACUGGACUUGAGAACCCCAAGUUGGUGCGUAAGAUCACCGGCAAGCAAGCAUGCAUGUUUCUAUCCGUAUGAACAUGUCGAAAAUCCUUUUAUUUUCAAAUAUGCCGACUCCCAACACAUACAGAUAAGACUACGACCUACUAUUUUUGGGCCACUCAUGACUUCAUGGUAAGAAAAAUUAUGCUACCAUUCUCAAGGGUUUGAAUCUGUUCCAAAAAGUCUUCAAGAGCCUAGACUACCCAGUCUGAAACCUUUGUACAUUUGUAUACAUUUGUAUUUAUCUUUUGACGGCACCUCAUGAAAGAAUGCUCUGUUUGUGACCCCAGAAAAUUCGAGCAUUGUUGUAAAAUAAUGGAUGUGUUUGCCCACAUGUAUAUAGUAAAGGUUCACAAGUUAAAUAGUGAACUUUUUGUUUGCUUUCAUAAUGUUUGCUUUAUAAAUAGAGCAUUACAAGUGAUAAAAGGAAUAAGAGAUGAAGAAGUGAGAAGCCACAAGGCUCACGUCAGAGAGGGAGAAAAGAGAGAGGAGAAUUAUCUUUGUAAUCUUAUUACUUUAGAUUAUAAAUAAAAGCACUGCUGCUACCCCGAUGACGUACUCUAGUCACACUGACUGUAGAGGAACCUCGUAAAUUUUGUGUCUUGUUUAUUUAUUCCACUGCACACACCGUCGAUUUUACAACAAGCAUUGGUUUUUGAAUUGUAGUCGAAUUGACGGUUUAGUCCUUAAAUUAAAAGUCAGUGAGUAUUGGUCAUUGAAUUUGUUGCAAUGUGAAGCAAUAAUCCUUUUGAAUAACUCCAUCAAAAGUUUCAUCAUUUAUUUGUCCCUUUGAACCAUUUAUUUUAGUUGAAAACGGUGUUACCAACAUAAUUAAUCAUUACUUAUCAUUGUGGCAAGUUCAGAAUCAAUUUUUAAUUUAUAAAUGCAAAAUUUUAACCUUAAAUUAAAAAUCAGUGAGUAUUAGUCAUUGAAUUUGUUGCGAUGUGAAGCAGUAAUCCUUUUGAAUAACUCCAUCAAAAGUUUCAUCAUUUAUUUGUCCCUUUGAACCAUUUAUUUUAGUUGAAAACGGUGUUACCAACAUAAUUAAUCAUUACUUAUCAUUGUGGCAAGUUCAGAAUCAAUUUUUAGUUUAUAAAUGCAAAAUUUUAAUCAAGCUAAAAUUUAGAAACCAACGCUCCAACUUUCUCGUAGACUCCAACAAAAUCAACUUUAAAUUAAUUUUGGCAUCGCACCUAACACCAAACACAGGCACAUGCCUGUGUGAAUACGAAUGGUAGCCACGUCCUUGAAUUAGUUCAUACUUGCUUCCUUACUUUCAUUCAUCAUGGUUGAUGCAUGUGGAUGCGUGAUGAUUUUGUUGGACCCCCUAAAAAGAGUUGCUACCUAACAUUCGAAACUGCCUACAAAUUAAGCUAUGUCAAGUUCAAUUAUUAUGAAUUCGUCCUCUCCUAUAAGCCCCAAGUGUUGGUCAAGUCAAACGACAUAGAGUUAAUUUUUUUUUUUUUUUACUAAAUUUGAAACACAGUAAAUUAAAAAAAUAAUCAUAUUCACCGAGAGUGAAUGAACAAAAAAAAAAAAAAAAAACAUCCAUUUAGACAAUUCAUGACUUAUUACUACAUUUAUAAUUUAAGACUAAAACCCUCGUUUAUUGACAAAAGUCUAAGUAAUUAUUAUAUGUAAUUUUUAUGUUACAUGUGCGUCACUAGUCAAUAUUAACAUGUAAUCAAGUAUCAACAUUGUACAACAGUUAAUGGUAAGAGUCCUGCUCUUUUAAGACCAUCACCAACCCUUGGAGUAAAAUUUAAAAUUUUUAACCCAUAAAAUUUAGGUUUUAACCCAGAAACAGUUUUUUUACUCCAACUAUUUUGGCCUAAAAUUUUAACACAUAUUAUUAAAAAAUGAAUUUAGACUUUUUUUAAAAUUAAAUUUAAAAAAAAAUUAUGUAGACUAUCAUAACUUAAUUUUAUGAACAUUUUAACAUAAAAAUAUUUAAAUUCUGUUAAAUAUUGGAAAAUCACUAAAUGGACACAUGAAACUCAUGAAACACUAUGGAAAAAGCACUAAAUCAGAUCAUUAAUAAACCAUGGUUAAAGGUGAGGUCUUUGGAAGAUGGUAGAAAGAAAAAUUGGAAGAAUUGUAAGAGAAAAGUGAGUUUUGUGUGGAUGUUUGAACAAAUACAUAGGUAUUUAUAGAGUUUUUGGGUGAAUUUUGAGUUAAAUAAUUUUUUUAAAAUUAUUUUAGCCAUUGGAUUUAAAUUUGGGAUGUUAGAUCUUUUUUUUACCAUUGGAUUUGAUCAUAUUUGAUCUCAACCGUUGGAUACUAUAAAUUUAUAAAUAUAAAACAAAAAAAAUUAAAAAAUUGAACGUGAACCAUUGGAUCAAUCAACGGCCCAUUUAAAUUGUGGUCGUGGAUUAGAAAAAGGAGUCGUUAGGCUCAUUAAGAACUUCAGACAGCCAGGGGACAAGCCCACAUUGGUGGGGUUCGGUUGCUGCAAAGCAAGCACGUGCAAGGGUGUGCGUGGGUGAGGGCUGGGUAUUUGGGCUUCACCUUCCGUUUUCCAUUCUAACAUGUGGGGCACACCACUAACCCAACCCACAUUUUUGGCCGGAAUUUGGUCAAAUUUGAGCUUCUAACCCAUAGCCCCAAAUUGGCCCAAGGGUUGGAAGGAAAUUGUUGGGAAAGGGGGGGGGGGGGAAUAUAUGGUAAAUUUUAGAACUUACUCCAAGGGUUUGAGUUGGUCUAAGUUCCUCAUUUUGAGGACCUAUGAGGACCAAAUGUAUAUUACUCACAAGGUUAUACUAAUUUAUAUCUGAAGGCUUAAAAUGUUUGACAACAAAAUAAAGCAAAACAAUAAAAAUGUGUUUUCUAAUGGUUCAUUAAUUUUAAGUUAGUUAUAUUUAUUAAGUUGUCAAAUAUUUUAAGCAUUUUGAUAUAAACUAAUAUAAUCUUGUUUCCAGUUUCAAAAUAAUAUUGUUUUUACACAUUGAUCAUCCCCUUUCUUCCAUCACCUUUCUUUGUCCAUUCUUAUCUCGAAGACACAAAGUGAAAAAAAAAAAACAAAAAACAAAAAAGGGUUGUCACUUAGUAUUAUGGAAUAUUAGUAUUCAUCUUCAUUUGUAAGUGAAAUGUAUUAGGUUUGAUUAUUGCUAAAGAUGAAUUUGAACCAGAUUUAGCACACUUUUCAUCUCAUAAUGUAGAAAAUAUCGUUUAUUAAAAAAAUAAAAAGAGCCCGAAAAUACGAAACCUAUGAUAUGGACAAGGGUCAUAACACCCUUUUCUGGGCCGACGAUUGAGUUGGGCCUGUUAAAAACAUUUUUCAUUGUGAUCGAAAUACAAAUGUUACACAAUGUGUGUUUUUAUAUAAAUGAUGAAAAAUUUUAUUUUUUUAAAUUAUUAACUUUUAAUAUAUAUAUAUAUAUAUAUAUAUAUCUCAUUAUUAGCCAAAGCUUCUGAGGUGUUCUUUUGAGAUUACUGCUUGCUUAAUGUGAUUAGCAUUGCAUUAGCGUCUGUUUAGGAUUACUUGAAUUCGCAAUUUGGGAAUAUCUGAUGAACUUACUUUGGUUUUUCGCUCCCACAAUUGCGAACAGACAGAAACAAUAGAUAAAUUGAUGAGGGAAUUGGGAGAGCAAGUGCUGGAACGAGAGUUCUGUCAAAGUACUGCAAAAAGUUUUAAGUGAGUUUCAUUUCAUGCUUAGACUUUCGUAUCGUAUUUGAUUGAAUCCCUUUCCGAAUGAUCCUUUCGGACUCUAACUCCUGCUUUGGUGUUUUAUGCCUGUGCAGUCGCUCUGCAGCUCGUGCUGGGAAACCUAUUGUAAAAUGGACUGAGGUUAACACUUUCUAUCUCUUUUUCUGCUUUUCAUUUGAUUGCACUUGUUACCGUUGUUUUUACCAUAAGGCGGCAUUGAUUAAUCGUGUCUAAAGCGCUUCUCUGUUGGAAUGGUCCUAGUUGCAAAGCUGGUUCGAGAAUAGGGUGAAAGAGUCACCAAACAUAUGCAGAAAUUACCCUUCGAAUAAGGCACACAAAAGUUCCGAAAUACCUAAAGGUGCUUCUCACAAGUACUUGUUGCUUUAUGUCUAGGAUAUAGUACUAUACAAGCUUCUAAGGCUUUUAAAAACUGGUUAAAUCAGAUUAUUGUGUGUUAAACUGUUGUACCCAAAAAUAGAAAAAUAGUGAAUGACAGACCAACCGAGAUAAUCGAAGCUUUCAACUGUGUUCGUAGUUGUUUAGAGAUUUUUUCUUUCUGUUAUACGCUAGCCACUACAUGUCAUUAUAACAAGUUAUUUGAACUGUUUCUGUAUCACAUAAUAUCAUUCGUAAAUCAUUUUACCUAAAAUUUUGCAAAUUUCCGUUGAAAGCAGAAGAAAAGAUCCCAGACGUAUCAGAGUUGGAAUUUGAGGCAAGGUCAUCAAAAGAUGGGGCAUGGUUAGUAUACAAACAAGGAUGACUUUGUCAUUGAAUUUCUCGGUCCCUUUACGUGUGUUCUUGUUGGAUGCAUCAGUUUGUCAUUAUUGCUAUCUUGUUGGUUAUUAGCAUUUUUUUUUGUGGCAAAACCUUGGGCCUAAUUUGGUGAGCCUAGCAAACUGGGCGUUUGUUACAAAUCAUGAAAAGAUUGAUACGAGGCAUUUGGUGAAGGAUGUAAGGAAAUAGAUCCUCAUGUACACCUGACUAUCCUGUGAAUAGUACAAGUUUAAUGCCUCGAUCGAUGUCUAUUCAGCCACCUCAUUGUUAAGCCAAGAGAUAGGACAGAGUUUGAAAGUAUAAUGAAAACUAAAAUAUAGUUUCAAUGUUUGAUUUUUCCUAUAUAUUUUGAUAGCAACGAUCUUCAACUGUGUGCGCCGUUGAAUUUAUGUUCUGAUUGCCUUGAUUGUAAUUCUUAUGGAAAAAGCUUUUUCUUCAACUGAGUUGAGGUCCAGGCUUCACCUUGAAAGUCAUUCUUCAAGUGUAAAAUAGUUCUCCAAACUUUAUUCUUUCACUCAAUUUUCAUCUCUGGUUCGUUAUGCUAUAUCUGUACGCUUUAACUGACCGUGAACCUCUACAUGUUUUGAGACCAUGAGACGCUUUCUAUCUUUUUCCUCCAAUCCUAUCAGCCCUUCUCCUCUCUCUCCCCGACUCUCUUAUAUUGCUUUGCAGGUAUGAUGUUGAAAAGUUCCUUGCUCACAGAUUCCUUAGAACGGGCGAAACUGUAAGUAUUUAAAUCAUAACUUAUUGCUCUAUCCGUGAAUAUACUGCUGAUCGACACGUUGGUCUGAACUUUGAGUACGUAUAAGUCUAACCGGAGAGUUGGAGACCACUUGGAUUUGGAAAACAGCGUACAAAAACCAGACCUAGCCAUACAUAAGUUCAUUAAGUGACCUUUGUCAUUUAUUAAAGGAAGUUCGUGUCAGAUUUGUCGGAUUCAGAGCCGAAGAGGAUGAGUGGGUUAAUGUGAAAAAAGCAGUGCGGGAGCGCUCCGUGCCACUGGAGCAUUCAGAAUGUCGUACAUUGAAGGUUGGAGAUCAUGUCCUCUGCAUCCUGGUAAUUCCAAAGUUGUAGCAUAUAUUUUGGUGUAAAUUAACCGUUAGAUCUUUCAAGUUGGUAGCCUCUUACAUUUUAGUCGUUUCGUUAAUUACUAGGAGAGGAGAGAUGAAGCAAUCUACUACGAUUCCCAUAUUUACAGAUAUCCAAAGGAAAAUGCACGAUAUAAGGGGCCGCCGGUGUCUUCACAAUCCGGUAUAAUCCCGACAACUGCAAGGCGAGUAUUGCUAAUCCUUUUUAUUUCCCUUUUUCGAUUCAGUCUCGAGCUACUUAACCGUUGAUCUGAUGAUGUUUAAUGUCCUCCAGGAACGAGUCCGUUUGAGGAGAUUGUGUCGUCGCCCAAAACUUUAGAUGCUGCAUGCGUUUUCUCAAGUUGAUUCACUCAACGCCGGCUCAGUUUUGUCUACCUUUUUUGUACUCGAGCUGUGUGAGGGCAAGAGAGACAAGGCAUCCUGGAUUGUCGAUAUACGGCAAUCUAUGCCGCUUGUGGAUUUGGAUCAUCGGAAGUUCCAUUUGUUGGUACGUGUGCGAGUCUACACAGUAUAGACUAGGGUUCUACAUGUAUGAUCACAGGUAUAGAAGACGAUCAUUGCAUGUCUCGCAGUUCGUAAAAUGCUUUUGCAUGGAAGUGGUCUUAUCUUUUAGGGUAAAUUGCCAUUUGAUCCCUUGAAUUAUUAAUCCAGUUGAAAUUGACCUCCUGGAUUAUUUUUUUGGUAAAUUAAUUCCCUGAACUAUUUGAAACUAGACGAUUAACCUUUUGUUGAUAGAAUUUUAUCCACUAUUUCGUCAAAUUCAAGGGCAAACUAGUUUUCCAUCAUGAAUUUUUGAUUGUCAACCAUAACCAUCAAUAAAUUUAGGGAGUUUUAACAAAAACCUGCAAUAUUGUUUACUUUAACGAAAAAUUACAUUUUUACACUAAAAAGUCAAACUUAAUACUAUUAACUUUACUUUUUAUUUUGUCCUUAUCGUUAAAACUUAAAGUUUUAAAAUCAUUUUCAUUAAUUUCCCUAUAAAAUUAUGACAUGAAUACAAAAUAAUGUGUAAUGACAAUAUGAUUUGAUCCGUUAUUAUGCUAUAUAUUUUACACAUUAUUUUAUGUUCGUGUGUUACAAUUUUAUUGAUGAUUACCAUUGACAAUUAAGAAUUGAUAAUGAAAUGACUAAUUUUCUCUUGCAUUUGACGGAAUGGUGGACGAAAUUUAAUGGCAAGGGGUUAAUUGACUGAUUUUAAAUAGUUUAGAAGUUAAUUUACCAAAAAUAAAAUAAAAUUCAAAGAUCAAUUUCGAUUGGGGUAAUAGUUCAGGUGGUUAAACCGCAAUUUACCCUAUCAUUUAUUAUUGAAUUUUCAUUCGGGGAAAGCAAAAAUAAGCGUACAUAGAAUGGAUUUCUAGCAACAAAGCCAUCAAUGCAGUGUCAUGCAUGGAAUGUAAAAAGCUUAUGAGACGGUAUAUGCUGCAAAAAUAGGUUUUAUGACGGCUUUUAGAACUUUGAAAAUUCAUAUAUUUAAAAAGAUGACAUCAAAUACUGCAAUUCUUCACUUUGACAGUGGUAAAUUCAACCUAGAUGCCUCAAGUUCAGCAUGGAUAUAUCAUCAUCUGAAAAGGCGAAAUCAUGACAUGGCGGAAAUUAGUAUGAUCGAUCAGUUGAAACCAGAAAAAUCAGCACCACAAUGCCAUGGCUAAGAUCACUUUAAAUCUGCAUCUGAAAAGGAAACCAAAUGCUUGGAGUUGAAAGGAAGGCUGUAUCUGUAUUCUGUAUGGGUGAAGCACAUUUUUCUUAUAGAUUCGCAUGCACAUUGGAAAUAAUAACAUAUAUGAUUUAUCAACAAGAUUCAUUGUUUUUAUGGUCUAAACACGAGAUGCAUUGUUGAAAGCAUGUUUUUAGAGUUUGCGUACCACUAAACUCAAUGACUACAACUACCCAUUACAGCUUCCGAACAAAGCCAAGGCUCUUCAUUCUUUACCUCUUUAUUUCCCUAAAAAAGGACCAAUGUUUUUUGGCAUAAGCAAACGCAGUCAUGGUGCAACACUCAUUUUUCUGGCUCUUAAUCUGCCUGUUACGUUUAACUACUUUCCUUCUAGCACCUACUAUUAUUAAGUUUCCCAAGCUGUACCAGUAACCGACUUACAAGCUCAUAUAUGCAACUAGACUGAACUGCAGCAAAAUGAUGCAGUCACACAAGACAAAAAGCAGUAUGCAAUUAGCGUUUAACAAUAGUUACCAGGGCAGGGCGAGGGUUGGGUGUUGGGAAGUUAUUUAAAGAAAGAUGGCUUACCUUGUGUUUGAAAACUCGCACUUCCACCAAUAGCAGCAUCACGGAUGGACAUGCAAGAGCCACCAAGUCCUGCAUGCAGCUCAACUUAAAUCUAUUAGAAACACGAAGAGAACAGUUUACAUCAUCUAAAACAAUUAAAAAAGGUCGUACCCAGUGCACAAGGCUCCCGCUUUACGCAGGGUCUGGAAGAGGUGAAUGUCGGCUAACUUGAGUACACACAGAAAUAUGAGUGAUGUGCAACAGAUGAUGAAUGCCAAUCGAUAAUGAGAUCUUUUAGCUACAAAAUCAGACACAGAAAAUUACAAUAUAAACUGCAAGAGAGAGAUUUGCACCAAAUUUCCUUCGGACAUACAACUUACCAAUGGGCAAGAAGGCUCCAUCUUUCUCGGCAACAUAGAUCUUAUUUAUACACUGGUGCAAUAUAACCUCCCCUACAGCAGUUCUGCUUCAAAGACCUUGACCAAAAUUAUCAACUAUUUAACCUGUAAUACUCAUUUAUUCACUGGAAAUCUAGCAUGGUCAUAGAGCGCAACUCCUAUGUGUAAUGUACAGAUUAAGAAAAGGUCAGAAUACAUAAUCAGCAGUUAUAAAUAAAAGGACACAAGCAUUUGGAAAGUGAUCGAGAUUAACUAAAAAAUAAAUAAGAUGACCACGUAACCAUUACACACUGAUACUUUGAAGUAUACAACUGCUUUCUGUUUAAUGGUCAAAUUGGGACAUCUCAUCUUAAAGUCCACAAAGAAGCUCACCCCUUCAAAAUAAAAUAAAAAAAUAAAAAAAAUAAAAAAAUAAAAAAAUAAUAAAAUAAUAAAAUAAUAAAAUAAUAAAAUAAUAAAAUCUAAAAAAAAAAAAAAACUAAGCACAAACUGAAGGGAUAAGAAUGUCCAAAAUCACAGCUAGUCAUAGAUGUACGUUCCCAUAUUCUAUCGAUAAUCAAAACAUGACUUGUGCACAUUCCUUCAACCCAAGGAAUUAUUGCUCGGCAAUAUACAAACUUUUGCACUAUGGGAGCGAAUAAACAACUUCCCAGUGAGAUAUAUAAUAAGGUCAAUAGAUUGAAGACAGUGCACAUGUACUUGUAACAGAUGCUAUGUUAUGGUGGCAAUAAAGAAGAGUUAAGCGUACAUCAACUCCCAAAAUGCCAAGACCAAUCAAUUUCCCGUGAGAGGAUCUUUUCAUUCUGAACAGGCACUACAUGGUAAAAGCUGGCUUCCGGCUCAUAAAGGUGAAUUAUCAGAAUUCCAUCAGCAGCAUCUACUUGCAUGUUCAUGAGACAGUUCUACCAUAGCAAAUUGAUGCAAUAUAAAGGUUCUUUCCCCAUUUCUCCUGCACAAUUGCCAUAGAGAAACUUGAGCUUUCAGAAAGAAGAAUAAAAAGGGAAAGGCAAGCACGAAGAAAAUGAGUAAUCAAAUAUUCCACCUUAACAUGUGUACUAGGAAAAGCAGAAGUCCGAAGCGUCUCUUGAGUUUCAUCUGCCGGUUUUCUCCUUGGAACACUAAGGACAAAAGCUGCCUGAUCCCAAGUUGCUGCAGUUGACGUGAUGCGGUAACCAUUAUCCCACCUUCGAUGAAUGCCUUCACUUGGAUAGAGAAAAUCUAGUUCCACAACCUAAAAUAGCUCAUUUCAAGGGAGGCAAAAUACAAUUAUCAGCUAUAUUUUCUCCACACCAACGUGCAUAUCAAUAGAAAGGAUAUUUGGUAAUCCAAAUAAAACCUGGUCAGAAAAUCCAGCACCGCGGGACAUAACAAUAGCCCAUCUACUCCCAGCAGUUGCCAUUGCUGUAACAUGAAAUCCUUCCCUCCAUUUCUUAUUAAUCCACUUGAAAGGAAAUGACUCGCUGACUUUAUAGGACUGCUGUAAGUAUUGGGUCCCUGUAUAAAGCAAUAGAGGACCAGUUAGACAUUUAGACUUGCAAUGCAGCUCUACAGAACCACAGAUGCACAAUUAGAUUGACAAGGUAGCUCUACAGAACCACAGAUGCUUAGACUAACCUUUAGACAUUACAACUAAAGAGCUUCCAUUGUUUGCUCCUGCUAUCGCACUAAUAUAGUAAUUCUUGUCCCACUGCUCCAUAAUCCAUUCCUUUAAAACAGAGAAAUAUUAUGAUGAUGUGUUCAUUUAAACAAGAAAUAGUCAUAAUCGUCUAUGUACCGUAAUCUAAAAGAGAAAAAAAUCCACUGAUAUAAACAACAAUGCUUGUUGCAAGCUGAGUUUCAACGUCAUAAGACAACCAUUCUUGAUAUGACGGAUCACUAACCUUAUGCAGAAAAUAUGGAGAGAGUUCAUAAACUUGGGCACUGAAGCCAGUGCCAGCAUCCAUAAUAAGAGCCCAAAGAUUUGAACAGGAAGCCACACUGCUAAUUAAUAACCCAUCUUCAUUUCCUUUCUCAAUGUGCUGGGAGAGCCUCACAUCUGCAACAUUAUAGUGAUAUCUACAACAAAUGAAAACAUAAACUUAUAGGUCAAAUUUGAAUUUAUAAAUUCCAGUGUAAGAAUUCUAAGGAUAUACAAAUUCUAAGGAUAUACCUUUGCUUCAUAGGCCUACGAGCAUUGUAUACACUAAUCCAUUGGGUUGCAGGCAUCCCCAUACGAAUCUUCUUAUUUGGUUGCUCAUCAUCCUCUUCCUCCAUGGUCAAUCUUGCUCUCUUUUGUCCAACUUGGCAUAUAAGCUUUCCAAUGCAAGGAGUAUAAGUUAGCUGAACUCCAAAUGAAGAUCUAUAACUAACAUCCAUAAAACAUAGUCUGCAUAGAUGCAAGAACAUUCAAAAUACCUUCUGAGCACCAUCAGUAUUUAUUGGCCUGACAUCUGGGUUUGGGCCAACAAUUCCAUCAAAAAGGGAUAUAUACUUUGCAUAGUUUGGUUCUUCGUCAAACUUCAAAUUCACCACAUACUCAACAAAUUGUCGGAAUGGCUGAGGGCAGAGGCAACACAAAGUUUCUGGGGAAGUGGCCAUCUUUUUCUUGCAGACAAGAAAUCCUUUAUUUUCCCCCUAAAAAAUAUAGUGUAUUUGUGUUAGAGUGGCAUACAUAAUCAGAUACAAGCAUAAGCGUACACAAAUUUUGAAAUUAUCAACCUGAUAUCCUUGCCAUGGCAACCGACCACGAAGAAGAAAUAUCAGGGUGUAAGCUAGAGAUUCCAAGUCAUCUCUCCUGCUACCAGUUCUACCAAGAUGAGCAUGCACACUAGCAUACCGCACCGUUCCCCUGCAGCACAUUAAUAAUCAGUAUACCAAUAAGUAAAAUCUCUUUGUGUUUUUGGAUUACUUGCAAAGAUCGUCAUAUUUACAGUCAAAUAAUUAAUCAAUGUUUAUUUCACCUGAAAACAUCUGGACGUUGAUCAUAGUCGACAUGCAGACCAGUCGAAUCUCGCCACCUGGUGGCUGUCACGUAAAAACAGGCAAUGAGAUGACAACGCAUUAGGUAAAUUAACUUGACAAGUAAUUUCAGCUGUAAGGAGAUUCUAUAACAAUGACUUACCUAGUCCAAGGUCAACAAGAAACAGCUUCUUCUCCUCGGCAGUUCCAGGGGGGCCAAGCAAAAAGUUCUCAGGUUUUACAUCCCCAUGUACAUAACUGUCAUCAACAUCAUCACAGAGAUUAUGAAGCCAGGUACAUUGCAAUCUAUAACUAUAUUGAAAGAAAUUCUGAAAUAAAAUAUCACCCUCUAGAGUGCAUCUUCUCCAAUAUGGAUAUUCCCUCAAUGGCAAUACAUGCAACCAUUUCAAUUGACAUCCUGAAAUUUAAAAGGUAGGAGUGUCAGAUAGGCAGACAGUGUUAAGUGUUGCAAGCGAACAGUAAGGUGAAAAAUGAAAAUCUUUUUAACAGGGUUGACAUUUUCAUUAUAAAGACAGGAAGAACUUACGUGUGCGAGCUGUUAUUCCAGACAUCCCACAAACUAGGCCCAAGCAUAUCCAUCACCUGUAUACCGAGUAGGGUUGAUUUAUAAUUCUGAAACUACGUUAAUUAGGAACUACACCUAAAAUGAAAUUUAAGCAAACAACUCAUACCAUGAUAUAGUAGUCAGCUUGCCGACCCUUAUAAUGAACCCUUGGCACCCCAUGACUACCGCCAAGUGCACUGGAUAGACAUACAAUUAAGUGGGUCACAAUACAAGACAGUGAGGGUGAGAAAGUGAUAUCUAUCCAUCAAACAUAUUACAAGAGAAAAGGGAGCCUCUUACUUGUAAAUCUGCCAUUCAUGAGGUGGACCAUAAUUACAUCCUUUGCUACUUCUAUGCUCAAAUUUCAAAGCAACCUAGAUGAAACAGAUAUGUUAAUACAAACCCGACAUAACACUUGUUUUCUUUCCAGAAAACAGAUUAUUCAAUGAUGUUACUCCACAAGGGGACAUAAAAAAGAUGACUGCACACCUCAACAGCUCCAGGGCCGGCCCCCAUGCGUCGACCAACAUAUACUUGACCAAAGCCUCCUUUCCCCAAUUUCUUCUCUAUUUUGUAUACCGGGGAACCACCAACCUGGACCUGUUGUCAAUAAAUCCGAGAACGAACAAAAUUGUCAAAAAGAAUACAAUGAAAUGCUAAUCAAAUAUUUCCCAGCUGAAGCACAUACUAUUACGAAGCAAACUGCAUUUUGCUGCCACUUCCCCACUCACAAAGAGUUCAUUGCCCACUUAAGUAAAUGAAAAACAGAUAUACAAAUACCACAUUCCCCCCAUCCCACUCGAAAUAAGAACAGCGAAUGCGAGACUUUCAAGACCUUCCUCAAAGUUAAUAGCUUAUACGACUUAAACGUGGAAAUAAAGACUGAGACUUUGAAUGGAACAAACAAAAUACACAAAAAGUCUCUCUUUUUCUCCUUCCCUCAGCCCACACAUCAUCCAAACAAAAACCCAACAAAAAAAAAAAUUGAAAAAAAAAUCAAAGAAUAAUAUUUAGAUUUAAUUUUUUUUUAAAUAAAGUGAAAUGGAAUGCAGGCAGUGAACAAAAAGAGUGACCUUCUCGGGAAUAGGAGCUGCGCCCUCAUCGUCAGCUCCGGGACCCUUAUCGCCACUGCGGCCGCCGCUAUCGUACUCGUCCAUGGCUCUCUCACCAGCCUCCUCCUUAAACGACCUCUUUUCAAUCACCGGACCACCCUCGGCCCUCCUACGCUUGCCGGCACCAGCUACCUUCUUUUCCUUCUGAUUAUUAAUCUGUUUCUUCUUCUGAUUAUUAUUAUUCUUCUUGUUCUGCCGAGUCCGUACAGUCGCCUUCCGGGGCGGGGUCUUGAUGAUCGGGUGCGGGUUUCGGUUCGGGUCAGGGUUAUCGGGCGCCCGGUUUCUCCGUGGUCGCAGCUCAGGCAUGGUAAGGGCGGUGGCGGUGGUCCAUGAAGAGCGAGAAGCGCGCCUUAUCGGGAAGAUUCAUGAAGCUUUUAGAACCAUCGGCGGAAGAAAUCGAUCAGUGUGGAUUGCUUAGACGGACAGAGAGAAAGAGGGAAAUAGAGAGUGUGUAGAGAGAGAAAAUUAGGGUUUGGGAGAGAGAGAAUUUUGGAGAUCUGUGGAGGGAAAUCAAAUGGAAACGGAGGAGGAAGGAGAAGAAGGGAUUCUAGAUUUUUUUCAGAGCGGAGAGAAAGAGACAGAAGCUAUGAACAGAUGGAGAUGUAAAUUCGUAAAUUUGAUUUCUAUAUUUUUUUGUUUUUGUUUUUUUCAUAUAAUAUUUAAUUAGUUGAGAUUUUGUAAUUAAAAAGGCCUAAUCGGAUAAAUGGUCCCCGUGGUGAUAAGGUAUUCGGAUGAUAGCCCCUGUGGUAAAAAAAUUCGGAUUUAAACCCCUGUGGUCUAAGUCUGUUAGGAUUUAUGCUCUUCUGUUAAAUAAUGCUGGCGUGGCUGCCAAAUGUUUGCCACGUGGCAAAAAUAAUAUAUAUAUAUUUUUUUUUUUAAACCUGAAUUUUUUUACAAAAAAAAAAAAAAAAAAAAAACCCAGAAACUCCUCCCGCCCUCCGCCCGUUCCCCCCCCCCGGCCGGAUUUCUUCUCCUUCUUCUUCCCGCCGGAGGCCAGCUCCCCCCCCCCCGCCGCGCGACCCUCCUCCCUCUCCUUCUUCCUUCUUCUUCUUCUUCCCGCCGGUCUCCCGCGCGACUCUCCUUCUUCUUCUUCUUCUUCUUCUUUUUCUUCUUCUUCUUCUUCUUCCCGCCGGAGACCAGCUCCCCCUCGCUGGAGCCCUCUCCCCGCACCCUCCUCCCUCUCCCUCUCCCUCUUCCUUCUUCUUCUUCUUGCAGAUCUGGGUUUUUUUUUUUUUUUUUUUUGUAAAAAUUCAGGUUUAAAAAAAAAAAAUAUUAUUUUUGCCACGUGGCAGACAUUUGGCAGCCACGUGGCAUAUAUGUGGCAGCCACAUCAGCAUUAUUUAACAGAAGGGCAUAAAUCCUAACAGACUUAUACCACAGGGGUUUAAAUCCUAACAGACUUAGACCACAGGGGUUUAAAUCCGAAUUUUUUUACCACAGGGGCUAUCAUCCGAAUACCUUAUGACCACGGGGACCAUUUAUCCAAUUAGGCCAAUUAAAAAUGGUGAUCAACUAACUUUUUUUUUUUUUGGACAAGAAAUUGGAAUGUAUUUUCAUUUUAUAUUUUUGUUAUUAAUUGAUGAUUUUAAGGUAGUGUUUCUCAAGGAAGAAAAUAUCGGUAAUAUCGGAAAUAUCGGUAGUCUGAAAACACGGAAAUAUCGAUGGAAAUAUCGGGAUAAUAUCGAUAUCGAUAUCGAUAAAAAUUACAUGGAAACCACGGAAAUUGUAAGAAAAACUUGGAAAUUUUUAUUGAAAAUUUGCAGGAUGUUUAUUUAGUCAAUUAUCUAUUAGUUUAUCACAAAAAAUUGGAAGGAAAUGCAUUGCAUGAUGGAUUUAACUGAUUUAAGUUGAUUAUAUAGCAAGUUGGCAAACAUUGUGAAUGUAGAAAAUAUGUAGUAAUUAAUGAAAGAAGUUUAAACACACCAUAAUCAUUUAUAUAUAAUGAAUUAGUACAAUAUUUUACACUUUAUACAUUGCAUAGUAAGAUACAUGAGUGACUUAGUACCACAUAGAGUUCCUAUGAGGUUCAAAAUUUUCACUAUCUUCAUCAUCUCUAUUUGUAGAGUAAGUGUAUUAUGAAGAGUAGUCAGCAACCAUGACAAUGGUUUUUAAGAACCAAAACCCAAAAGUCAAUAGGAAACCGAAUACUUCGGUAUUUUUCGGGAUUACCAAACAAAUGGGAUUUGGAAACCAAUCCCAUAUCGAAAAUUUCGGUAUUUUUCGGGAUGGGAUUCCCGAACUUCAGGAUGGUUUUGGUUUGGGAUUUUUCGGUUUGGGUUUGGGACUUUUUCGGUUUGAUUUGGGAUUUUCGGGAAUUUUUUCCAGCCCUACCAUGUAAGUGAUCAAAUAAAAAAUAGAAAAAUUAAAAACCACAUGCCAUUGACUAAGUAAUUAAUUGACACAAUUUAAAAUAUAAUACCACAAAAAAUUUGGAAUAUGUGCAAAUUUGUUUCUUGUAAAAAGAAUUCAAAACAAAACCAUAUAUAUAAAUAUAGUAGCAUAUUAUCACAACAACAUAAGUGAUAUGGUGGUUAAGGCGUUAAGAGUCAAAUGGGAGGGGGUUCGGAUCCCUUUAGUCUUAAAAUUGAGAUUUUUCAAAAAUUUUUAAGAAUUUUUGGAUGUCAUAUCGCGAUAUUAACUGCUUUUACCCAUGAUAUAAAAAUAUCAAUGUAAAAAAAAUAAAAAAUUUCUAACGAAUUGCAAAGGGCUCACGUGCUCCACUUUCAAGAAGCAGGGGUAACGGGCAAAAAUUGAAUGUUCUUAUGAUCUGCCAAUCUGACCAAUUUUUUUUUUUUUUUUUAAAUUGAGAUUAUAAUAUAAGGCUUAUAUAUCAAUCAUUUGAUUUUAUCAGUUUCGCAAACAAAAUUUAGUUUUUGAUCAUUUAGUUAAUUAUUUUUAGUUUUCUUUGGAAAGUCAAGGUUGGACGAACAAAUCAAAAAUCUGAAAAUCAACUAAACAAAAUCAUUGGAGUUGGUUUGGUUUUUUUAUUUCGCAUUUCAAUUUAUAUGACAAACCAAACCAAAAAUAUCAAUUAUAUGCAAUUUUUAUUUUUACAGCACGUGGGUUAUCCGAACCAAAUCGCUUAUGAUUAAAUAUACUAGUAUAUGCUCACACAUAAAGUUCAUGUGAAAUUUUUAUUUUUGUUAAUUUGAAGGAGAGAAAGCGAGUGAGAGAAAACGUGAAAGUGGGAGAAAGUGAGAAAGGUAUGUCUUUUUAUUUAUUUAUUUUUUUUAAAUUAAAGUUAUAAAAUCAUCUGUAGUUGAGGUUUAAACAAAAAACACCAAAAUUUUGCUUUAUAAAAUUACGUUACUGUCCUUAACUUUUUGGUUGUGAUAGAAGACAAAAAUGUAUUUUCACUUUGUUUUGAUUGACAAAGAAAAUUUUAUUAAUGUGUAGUAUAGAUAAAAUAGCACAUAAUAUUUAGAAUAUUAUAUAAAAAAUUUAUAUAAUAUUUAUAAAAUCAUCUAUAGUAUAGAAAAUUUUAUCAAGUCUUCAGUCAAGAAAGUCUUUUGGUUGGAGACUUGAAAUUCAGUCCAUGUAUGGGCCGAAGUAACUAGAUGUUGUCUUGAACUGAUGCUCGAUAUGAGGCGGUGCUCAAUCUGAAGUGAUGCUCAACUAGAAGUAGCACAUGUUGCGAGGCUACUCGGUUUGUGGCUUAUGUUGUCUUGGUUGGCUCGGCUUGUGACGUUAAAGGUGAGGGAGUCCAUUUUAUAGAAUAAGGGCUCGCUCCUUAUUACAAAAAUGAUGGGCUAGAGUUGGUGCUCACAGCGAGGCGGUUGCUCAGCUGGCGGCGAUGUUCUCUAAUGAAGGUGAAUGAGUCAUUUUUAUAGAAUAAGGGCUCGCUCCUCAAUACAUAAGUGAUGAGUUAUGAGUGAUGCUCGCGGCGAGGUGGUUGCUCAGUAGGCGGCGAUGCUCUCUAAUGAUGGUGAGGGAGUCCCUUUUAUAGAAUAAGGGCUCGUUCCUCAAUACAUAAGUGAUGGGUUAGGAGUGAUGCUCGCGGCGAGACGGUUGCUUAGCUGGCGGCGAUGCUCUUUAAUGAAGGUGAGGUAGUCCUUUUUAUAAAUAAGGGUUCGCUCCUCAGUACAUGAAUAAUGGGUUAGGAGUGAUGCUCGCGACGAGGCGGUUGCUCAGCUGGCGGCGAUGCUCUCUAAUGAAGGUGAAGAAGUCCCUUUUAUAAAAUAAGGGCUCGCUCUUCAGUACAUGAAUAAUGGGUUAGGAGUGAUGCUCAUGGCGAUGCGGUUGCUCAGCUGGUGGCGAUGCUUUCUAAUGAAGGUGAGGGAGUCCCUUUUAUAAAAUAAGAGCUCGUUCCUCAGUACAUGAAUAAUGGGUGCUCUCUAAUGAAAGUGAGGGAGUCCCUUUUAUAGAAUAAAGGGCUCGCUUCUCAGUACACAAAUAAUGGACUAAGUCCCCCAAGUAUUUUUCAUGAGGCCCAGUUGAGGUCCAAUAUAUGGUACAUAAUGUAGUCCCCCAAGUCUUCAGUCAAUAGAGUCUGUUGGCUGGAGACUUCAAAUUGAAUCCAUGUAUCGGCCGAAGUGGUGGUUGUUCGGAUGCGGUAUUUAUAUACCCUGCACUGAAGCUUUGUAGGUGAAGUUUUGCAAGUGAAGCUUUGAAGCUGGAGCUCUGUAAUGAAGCUUUCGAAGUUAGAGCCCUCGAAACUGGAGCUCUGUAAAUGAAGCUUUCGAAGCUGAUUGACAUGAGUGAUGCUCAUGAAUGUUUAUGUUGAUUAACAUGAGUGAUGCUCAUGGAUAUUGACAUGAGUGAUGCUCAUAAAUAUUGACAUGAGUGAUGCUCAUGAAUGUUGACAUGAAUGAUGGUUAUGAAUGUUUAUGUAUGAUUGACAUGAGUGAUGCUCAUGAAUGUUUAUGUAUGAUUGACAUGAGUGAUGCUCAUGUAUAAUUUUGGAGUACUGGACAUUCAUUUGAUCACCUGGUUGGUGAUAAUAGCGGCAGAUUGCCGAAUAAUUUUUGUAGUACUUGACGUACUUUUGAUUACCUGGUUGGUGAUAAUAGCAGCAUGCUGCCGAAUAAUUUUGGAGUACUGGGUGUACUUUUGAUCACCUGGUUGGUGAUAAUAACGGCAGGCUGCUGAAUAAUUUUUUGUAGUACUGGACGUACUUUUGAUCACCUUAGUGAUAAUAGAGGGCCUAGCUCUUUUGGGCAUAUGGGCCUUCACCCUUCACAUAACACUCCAGCCCAUUAUUUUGGGCUUGCCGUUUUUUUUAUUAUUAUUUUUAUUUUUUUAUUAUUACCCUCUGAUAAGGUUAUACAGAUAUCUCCGAAAGAUACGAUUUAAAAAUAAAUCCGACCCUCUGCUCAAUGGGUUACGCCUAUAAUUCCUUCUUCUCUAUUCCAUCACCAUCGCAAUUAUGUCUGCUUCUUUUUAUCUUCUUUUUCUUUCUGCUUUUUCUUUUUCUUUUCCCUUUUGUAGAUGGCAGACAAGGAAUGAUUAAUAGAAUUACUGAUAAGAAAAGAAUCUUAUAUUUGCUUUUGCUUUUGUUUCUGUUUCUUCUCGGUUUUUCUGCUGAGAGUCACUAGGUUGAGAUUCCGAGUUCGAGGGAUCCGAGUCGGGAGCUGGUCUGAUGGGUCCUCUCGCCUACAUGUGGUGUACCUGAUGGGUCAUCUCGCCGCCACUAGAUCCCAACUGCUGUUGCUGGAGGUGUUAUCUGUGCUUGAGCCUAUCGAGUUUAGUGCAAGUCUUCACCACUGCACCAAAAGCCUUAUCCAUAGGCUUACCCAUCAAGUGAUCUGGUUUUGCUGGGGUCAUUAUGCAGAGAUGAAAGUGGGUUAUAUCAGGGCAAUUUUGUGCAACAGUUGCUACAGUAGCAUUAGUCAUCUGCCAACAAAAGUAGAGGACAUAAUGGAGUCUUGGACAGCCAUUGGACACAACAAUAAACUUAGAUUCAAUCACCCCAUCAACAACAUCAUCUCCAUCGGGAGAAGAAGGGAAAACACAGAGUUCCUCAAUCAAAGGACAGUUUGAUCAAACAGCCUCCAACCCUUUGUCUUCCACUGUGUCCAGCACCCAAAGACGCCGGAGAAUGUGGACAAUGAGGAACAAGCUUAGCAAGGUCCCAACUUUGCAAAGUUGCUGCAUAGCUCAAAUUCAAGAAAGUAAGAUUCGUGCAGACAGGAUACAGAACUGGGAGAUAAAUAACUGUUGCUUUUCAUAAACUAGAGAGCGUAUGUAAAUUCUUGUAGUUACUAAACACUCUUUCGAGUUCUAAAUGCUGAGAGGGUGUGAGCUCUUACCAGAACGAGCCGGUGCCUAGCUCGAGAAGUUGAAGAGCAUGGUUGAGAAGACUUCGUAGUUGGUCCUAAAACUCGAUCCUGGAAAAAGGGUGUGAGCAUGAUGAGGUAGAGAGCGAGGGAGUACUGGAGAGAGAGAGAGAGGCAGAUCGUAAUGAGAUACUGAGAGCACCAAGUCAGUGGCUUCCAUUUGAUCUUAACGCUCGAGCUCUUCAUCCUCUUUCUGAUCUGCGGCCUAUUCGACAAAUCGAAGCUCGCCUCCUUCAUCCUAUUCCUUACCGUCGUUGCGCUCAAAUGGCUUUCAGCAAAGAGAGAGCAGAUUCAUCAAUGCCUGAAGCAUCUCACAUCUCAAUUGAUGGAAUUAAAGAGAUUUUCUACGAGUCUUGGAUUUUCAGUGUAGAGUGGUUGAUGAGAGAGAGAGAUCUGCGAAGGUUUUUAUGGAACAGCCCAAGGAGGGAGGAGUCUCCGAAGGUUUGUGUUGGUUUGUGUCUGGGCUGCUUGGAGAAUUUAGCCUCACAGAGAGAGGUUUUGGUUUCUUGGGUUUUGCAGAUUCAAGGUAGAGACUGUGGUAAGGUUUCACGGAAAUGAAAAAAUGAAAGAGAACCGACAUAGCUUUUUGUGUCAAUUCCCACAGACGGCGCCAAAUGUUGAUGCACAAAACCGGAUGGGUUUUGGAACAACGUAAAUUAGACUGUGAAUUUGCAAGAAAGUAAAUAACACAAGAUGUAUGGUGAUUCACCCCAAUGUUUGGGCUAUGUCCACACUGAUAUUGUAUUUCUCUGAGAGGAUUGUGAGGGAGAGAGCCUCUGAGGGUGAGAGAGCUCUUUCCCAAGGCCUAAUAAUUGGCCUCUUUUAAUGAGGAGAGUGAGGGGUCAUUUUAUAGAAUAGGGGCUCCUCACUUAUUAGAUAUUUGCCCCUUCAUUUAUUACAUAAUUACAUUUGAGUCCCCCCGAGUAUUUAUACGAGAUCUAAAUACGAAGGCCCUAAGUAUGGUAUAAACAACUUAAACUCUUGGUUUCUUUAUGGUUCUAACAUCUAGUAUCAGAGCCUUAUCACGGGGCUUGAUAAAAAAUCUAAAACAUGAGAGCAAGUGAAGCUGGGCAACGACUCGAGUCUCACUGUGCUAGGUAAAGGCAAUAUAAGAAUGGAAAUCAAAGGGAUGAUACAAGUCAUCACUGGAGUUUUCUAUGUGCCAGAGCUAAAGAACAAUCUACUGAGUAUCAGGCAACUCCAAGAGAAGGGACUUGCAGUGCUCAUGCAAUAUGGAAAAUGUAAGAUCUUUCAUCCUGAGAAAGGUCUUAUCAUGGAGACUGAGAUGUCAUGUAAUCGAAUGUUCGCAGUGCUCGCACGAUGCCCAUCAAAAGAGCAAAUGUGUCUUUCCUUGCUGACCACAUAUCAAUCCCAACUUUGGCAUUAUCGCUAUAGACAUCUUAGUUGGAAUGGUCUUAAAAUUCUCCAACAAAAGAAGAUGGUUGAUAGGCUGCCUCAGAUCAAAGCUUCUUAGAUAGUUUGAGAAAAUUAUUUAGUGGGAAGGCAACCUCGAGAUCCAUUUCCAAAAGAAAGUCUAUGGAGGGCAUCUGAGACUUUUCAAUUAGUGCAUGCUGAUAUAUGCGAACCAAUAAGUCCCACCUCAAAUAGUAAAAAAAGGUACCUCAUCACUUUCAUUGAUGACUUUAGUAGAAAAACCUGGGUAUAUUUCUUGGUGGAGAAAUUAGAAGCAUUUGUUACCUUUAAAACCUUCAAAGCUAGGGUUGAGAAGGAAACUAAAAGGUUCAUAAGAAGCUUGCACACUAACCGUGGAGGUGAAUUUCCAUCACAAGAGUUCACUAAUUUUUGUGAUGUAAAUGGGAUUAAAAGACAGUUGACGGCUGCGUACACUCCCCAACAGAAUGGGGUGGUGGAGAGGAAAAAUUGAACCAUAAUGAACAUGAUCUGAAGCAUGCUUUCUGAGAAGAAAAUCCCAAAGACUUUCUGGCCCGAAGCAACAAAUUGGAUUGUGCAUGUUUUAAAUAGAAAUCCAACACUCGCUGUGAAAAACAAGAUUCCAGAAGAAGCUUGGAAUGGACGUAAGCCAUGUGUGGGACACUUCAGAGGUUUUAGGUGCAUAUCUUAUGUUCAUGUACCUAACAGUAAGCGAAUUAAGCUUGAUGAUAAGAGCUUGAAAUGCAUCUUUCUCGGGUUCAGUGAGGAAUCCAAAGCCUAUAGGCCGUUUGAUCAUAUUUCUUAGCAGAUUAUUAUGAGCCUAGAUGUGGUUUUUGACGAGAACUAGGAUGACAAUCAUGAGGAAGCAAUCUUGGCUGACCUUAAAUGGGAAAUCGAAGGAGAAAAUAGUACAUAAAUUGGUAAUAGUGAAGAGGAACAUGCAAUGGACAUUAUUGAAAAAGCUGUGGAAAAUGAAGAAUCAGUAUAAGUGUCAGAUGAAAGCUCACCACGAGAUGGGCGAAUAAGGAGACCACCAGUUUGGAUGAGGGAUUAUGUAAGUGGUGAAGGAUUUUCAGAGGAGGAUGAUGUGAAUGAAAAUUUGGCUCACUUGGCCUUAUUUUUUUAUAUUGAUCCUCUUUCCUAUAAAGAUGCAGUGAGAAGUAAAACAUGGAGACAAGCUAUGAAUGUAGAGAUUAAAGCUAUUAAAAGGAAUGAUAUAUGGGAACUGACCGAGCUACCACCUGGAAGGAAAACAAUUGGGGUGAAGUGGGUUUUUAAAACAAAACUCAAUGAGAAUGGAGAAGUAGACAAGUACAAGGCUUGGUUAGUCGCAAAAGGGUACAUUCAAUAGUACGGAGUGGAUUAUGUUAAAGUGUUUGCGCCUGUGGCAUGUUUGGAUACUAUAGGAGUCGUAAUAGCACUUGCAGCUCAAAAAAGUUGGACGAUUUAUCAGUUAGACGUCAAGUCUGCCUUUUUACAUGGAGAAUUGAGUGAAGAGGUGUUCGUUGCACAACCUCCUGGUUAUGAGAAGAAAUGGCCUUAAACAAGCUCCUCGAGUCUGGUACAGUCGCAUAGAGUCUUACUUCGUACGAGAAGGGUUCAAGAAAUUCCCAUAUGAGCAUACUUUAUUCACCAAAACAAUGAAUGAAGGUAUGUUACUUGUUUGUUUUUAUGUUGAUGAUCUUAUAUUCACUAGAAAUGAUGAGAGUAUGUUCAAAGAGUUCAAACAAUCUAUGAUGGUUGAAUUCAAAAUGACUGAUCUUGGGAAUAUGAGUUAUUUUCUUGGUAUUGAAGUAUUGCAAAAAACAGAUGGUAUUUUCGUCAACCAACGGAAAUAUGCUCAGGAGGUAUUGGAAAGGUUUUAUAUGGAUCAGUGCAAUCCUGUGCACAACCCAAUGGUUCCAGGUUUCAAGCUUAUGAAGGAUGAAGGUGGAGUGAGGGUUGACAGCACCCCUUACAAGCAAAUGGUAGGGAGUCUUAUGCAUUUGACGACUACGCGUCCUGAUAUGAUGUUUGUAGUAAGCUUAAUCAGCCGUUACAUAGAGCGUCCCACUGAGCUUCAAUUACAAGCAAUGAAAAUGGUGUUAAGGUAUUUGAAGGGCACUUUCAGUCUUGGGGUGUUUUACAAGAAGGGAGGAGAUGAAGGAUUAAUGGGAUACACCAACAGCAAUUACGUAGGAGAUCAAGAUGACAGAAAGAGCACUUCAGGGUACAUAUUCAUGAUGGGGUCAGGAGCAGUGUCGUGGUCGUCAAGGAACCCUAACCCUAACGGCUAGAAUAUCCUAACAACUUUAACAGAGUUUUUAUUUCUUCCAUAAUUUUGAAUUUGAGUAGCAUGCACAUAAGGCAUUAACAAAAUUGUGGAUUCUAUACGCACUACAUAUGAGCACACUAACGGAAAUAUCUAGUGCUAUCAGUCUCUGGUGUUAAUGCUAUAGCUUUUUCUGAAAAGUUCAUGUACUCUUGAAUCCGAAAACAUAAUUUCGAGAGCAAAUUGAAACUCGGAUUCAAAUUUCAAUGGCUAACACUCCAAUUUACUAGAUAUCCGGCUUGGUUAGUUUAAUAAUUGGGAUUUUGACGCCUUGUUUGCAUAAGCUAUAUUAGUAUGGGGCUUUUAUAUCUAGGUCCGAAAACAUAGAUGGUUUUUAGGAAUGAGUCCAGUUAUUUAAUUACAUGUUUUUAUUUCUUUUAUACUCAUUUUAUAUUUUUUAAAAAUAUUAAAAAUCAAUUAAAAUAUUCUAAUAUUAUGCAUUUUUCAACUCCAAAAAAUCUAAUUAAUAUCUUACAACAACAAAAACUAAUAUACUAACAUAAAUUAUCUACAAAAUAUUCUACCUUAACUCAAGUAACAAAUAUAUGAAUAUAUAUUAUACCUGUAAGCGAGAUAUGAAACCUAACUAAAAGGUAGGAAAAAACAUAAUAUACCUACAAGCAAGACACUUUAAUUUGUGACACGUUGAUUAUAAAAAAGAAUCUGUCAUAUAGAUACAUAAAAAUAAUUAACCUGUGAUAUAGGUUGAUUAUAAAAAUUAAAAAUAAAAUCUAUAAAUGGGGUUUAAAGCAGGAGGAAGAACAAGAAAUAACAAAAAAUACAAAUAAAAAGAAAUAAUCAAAAAGAUGAUUAGGACGAAAUUUGAUUUUUAUAAUAAAUCUGGCCAUUGAAUAGAUAAUUAUUGAUAAUAAAAUAAUUAAAUUUACAGAAUUGGACUUAUUUUAAUAAAUUGGAUUAUUCCUACUAUUGGCUAAAAAAAUUGGACUUAUAUCAAGUUUUCCCUAUUAGUAUUCUCACAUAUGAUGAAAUUGAGGUUCUACCAUAAAACCAAUUGGCAAUAUGGGGAGUCGCCAAGACCAUAUAAGCAUAUAGCAAACCUUGUCCCUCACUGAUGUGAGACAGCUCUCAACACGCCCCCGCAUGUGUGGUAGAUUUUUAAGCCUACACGUGGACAACAACUGGGUGGGUGUGGCUGUUUGGCUUCAUACGAGGACAAUCCACAUUGAUACCAUGAUGAAAUUGAGGUUCCACCAUAAAAUCAAUUGACAAUAUAAGAAAUAGCCCAAGACCAUAUAAGCACAUAGCAAACCUUGUCCCUUACCGAUGUAAGACAACUUUGAACAACAUAUUCUUUGAAUUGGGAGCCCAAAGUACUCCUCGUCUAGUAUUUUGUGUGAUUAAUUCAAGAAUGUUCGAAUGUGCGCAUAACUCGUGUUAUUUCAAAUGAAGAAUGUUCGAAUGUAUCAACCUAGGGUUGUGAAAACUCAGUAAACCAUCGAAGACGACGAACAAAUCCCAGAAAAUGAAGAACAAGAAGUUAGAGGUGUCUGUGAGUGUAGUUCUUCUCAAUCUAUGAAUUUUGGUUGCGUAAUGACUGAUCAUUUUUCUUUUAUUUUGUAGGUUGAAUCCGAAAAUGUAAAACGUAAAGUUUUAGCUUCCUAGAAAAAUGAAUCAAGGCAGGAUGAUCUUGACAAGAGUGAUCAGGUGAAGUUCAAGAAAUAUGAUUUGUGAGCUAAUAUAUUAUUCAUCAUAUCGUGAAUUCUACCAAUUAUCUUAUCUUCUUUUUCUUCGUAUAAUUUGUUUUGGUACGACAUACAUGAAAUCCCAUGAUUCGUUGAUGCAUUUCUGAAAAAUAAAUUUUGGAUUUCAAAACUUUAGAAUGGCUGCGUAAUACAUUAAUUGAAGAUGACAAUUUGAGAUCAUGCUUUUAGAUUUUAUAUUUCUUAUCGCCUCUAAGGAAGAUAUUAAUUCUAGGAAAAACGAAAUUUCCACAAUGACUGUAAAUCCCUCCAAUAUCCUAUGAGCUUGGACUCGGUGUUAGUCAACCUCACCGUGUUGCUGUCUAUGCGACUGCUAGGCGAGUAGCAUAUGACCUUGGAUUAUGUGUAUUUUACACCAAAAAAGUAUCAUUACUGUCUUCUUUGUGUAAUGUAGUUUCUUAUUGUGCAGAGUGAUUUUUUGUUGAAGCAAUACUCUCUCAUAAUUUUUGAUGAAGUUCAUGUUCGGAGCUAUAACACAGACAUGCUUAUGGGAAUGCUUUUGCGUGUUAGCAUAGCACGUCAGGUGACCUUAAGAGUAGUUCUUAUUGCUAAAGUUUACAUUAAUCAAGGUUUAUAACCCAUUUUCACACUCACUUGCAUGUGAUUACAGGAAGAAUAUGAAAACCAGCGAAAGUGGAUGCUUUGGGGAAAAACUUUAAGGCCCGGAGUGUUGGUAUAUGGUCCAGCCCAUGAUCAAUGUUCUAGAUUAUUCUAGUAAGCAAGAGAUGAGGCUGGAGCUUGCUAGACAAUUCUAGCAUGUUAUUAAGUUGAUGGAAGAAGCUAGAGAGUACUAGCUUCCUUGGUUGCAAAUGGAAAGAUCUAGAAGCUACAAGUAUGUGGCUAGUCUAGAUUUUUCUAUACUAGAGGUUUGAAGAAGGAACUAGAAACUAGUAGAAUGCCAAGCCCUCACCUAUAAAUAUGGGUGUGAUGUAACCAAUUGAGAACCAAGAGUGAGUAGCAAAGGAUCAAGUCCAAAGCUAGAGUUCCACUCCAAGAGUGAGAGUGAGAGUGUUCCACUACACAUUGUGUGAGUGAAGUUUAGAGUGAUAGAAAGUGUGUGUUAUACUUUCUUGUAUCCAUCAAGCCUUGUCUUUGGCUUGGUAAGACUACUCUUGUUGUAUUCAUCUUUUUCAUAUAGUGAAGAUUGAUCCUUGUUUGGUGGACGUAGGCAUAAAUUGCCGAACCACAUAAAUUCUUGGUGUCCAUUUUCUACUUUACCUUGUGCAUUCUCUAUCUUGUAGUACCGACAUCCCUAACAAGUGGUAUCAGAGCCCGGUUGGCUCGUACUACGAGAUGGAAGGAAGUGGCACUAUGAUCAAACUCACCAACUCCAAUUGGGUAACAUGGAAGCCAAGGAUGGAGGACAUUCUCUAUUGCAAGGAUUUGCAUGAGCCAAUUGAAGGAGAUGCCGCUAAGCCCGAGAGCAUGUCCGAUGCCGAGUGGAAGAAGAUGAAUCGCAAGGCUAUUGGCACAAUUAGACAAUGGGUGGAUGAUAGUGUUUUUCACCAUGUGUCUAAUGAAACCAAUGCUCGCGAGUUUUGGACGAAGCUUGAGUCCUUGUUCGAGAAGAAGAAGACCCUAGCCAAGAAAGCCUUCUUGAUCAAAGAGCUCAUCAAUGUGAAGUACAAGGAUGGUUUAAGUGUAGCAGAACACUUGAACAAUUUCCAGAAUAUCAUCAACCAGUUGGCUACUAUGAAAAUGACGAUCGAGGACGAGCUACAAGCGCUCUUGUUACUUGGAUCCUUGCCAGACAGUUGGGGAGAACCUUUGUGGUGAGUAUAAGUAACUCUCUGCUUCUAAUGGUGUUCUUACUCUUGAUAAUGUUAAAAAUAGCAUGCUCAAUGAAGAAACAAGGAGAAAGACUUCUGGCACAGAUAGCAGCCAAGUAUUUGUCACAGAGAACCGCGGAAGAAGCAAGAGUAGAGGGCCUAGAGGUCAUGGCAGGAGUCCUAGCCGAUCCAAGUCAAGGUUCAGGGGUGCAUGCCACCAUUGUGGCAAAGAAGGCCAUAUGAAGAAAAAUUGUCGAGUUUGGAAGAGAGAGCAAAGGGAAGGAAACUUGUUAGAUCUUGUUUAUUCAGAUGUGUGUGGUCCCAUGGAAGUCGAGUCACUUGGAAGAAAUAAAUAUUUUGUUACUUAUAUUGAUGAUGCUUCACGAAGGGUGUGGGUGUAUUUGUUGAAAUCCAAAGACCAGGUGUUUCAGACAUUCCAGGAGUUCCAUGCCAUGGUGGAGAGGGAAACUGGGAAACCUCUCAAGUGCCUUCGUAGCGACAACGGCGGCGAGUACACAUCUCACCAGUUUAGAGAGUAUUGUGUAAAACAUGGCAUACGUCAUGAGAAGACAGUUCCUGGAACUCCACAUCAUAACGGUGUUGCUGAAAGAAUGAACCGAACCAUCAUGGAGAAAGUCAGGUGUAUGUUGAGGACUGCAAAGUUAUCUAAGCAGUUCUGGGGUGAAGCUGUAAGGACAGCCUGCUAUUUGAUCAACCGAUCUCCAUCAGUACCAUUAGGUCUUGAUGUUCCAGAGAGAGUAUGGACUGGUAAUGAUGAUGUGUCUUACUCUCAUCUGAAGGUGUUUUGGUUGCAAAGCUUUUUGUGCAUGUGCCCAAAGAGCAGAGAGAUCGAAGUUAGACUACAAAGCUACACCGUGCAUCUUUCUUGGUUAUGGCGGUGAAGAUUUUGGUUACAGAUUAUGGGACCCAUACCAGAAGAAGUUUAUCCGAAGUAGAGACGUGGUCUUUUAUGAAGAACAAACAAUUGGGGAUUCGGAUAAAGAGGCACAACCAGAUGGCGCAGUCAGAGGAGUUGAUCCAUUAGCUUCAGAUGAAGAAAGUCACGAUGACAUCCCUGAAGCAACUGCCAAUGAAGUGCCUGCAGAAUCAGAUAAUGCUAAUCAAGAGGAGCCUGAUCAAGAUGUGCCAGACCAUGAGAUUGCUGAUCAGGGGGAGCCUAGUCAAGAAAAGCAGAUUUUGGGCAUGGAGAUAAUUCGUGACAGAAAAUCCAAGAAGUUGUGGCUGUCACAAGAAAAGUAUGUUGAACGUGGGUUGAAAGGUUCAACAUGAAAGCAGCCAAACCGGUAAGCUCACCUUUAGCCAAUCAUAUCAAGUUGAGCAAAGAGUCGUGUCCAAAAACAUAUGAAGAAAAGGAGAAAAUGGCAGUUGUUUCCCUACUCUUCAGCAGUAGGAAGUAUCAUGUAUGCAAUGGUGUGCACACGACCAGAUAUUGCUCAUGCAGUAGGUGUGGUGAGCAGGUUUCUCUCUAAUCCAGGGAAGGACCACUGGGAAGCCGUUAAGUGGAUUCUCAGAUAUUUGAAGGGGACUUCUAAGAUGUGCUUGUGCUUUGGCGGUUCCAAACCAAUCUUGGAAGGAUUUACAGAUGCUGACAUGGGAGGUGACCUGGAUGGUAGAAAAUCUACAUCUGGGUACUUGUUCACUUUUGCCGGGGGAGCCGUGUCUUGGCAAUCCAAGUUGCAAAAGUGUGUUGCUUUGUCCACAACCGAGGCUGAAUACAUAGCCGCUACAGAAGCAUGCAAGGAGUUGUUGUGGCUGAAGCAGUUUCUCCAAGAGUUGGGUUUGAAGCAAAGUGAUUAUGGCAUUUAUUGUGAUAGUCAGAGUGCUCUGGACUUGAGCAAGAACACUACAUAUCAUUCACGCACUAAGCACAUUGAUAUUCGUUAUCACUGGAUUAUAGACGCUAUCGAGAACAAGUUGCUGCAGCUGAAGAAGAUUCAUACCGAUAAUAAUUCUUCAGACAUGUUGACAAAGGUAGUCACAAAAUCAAAGUUGGAAUUCUGCAUUAAAGCUGCUGGGAUGAACUCCAGGUAACUUGGAGUCAUGAUCGGAAUUCCUCCCUCAUGGACUGGAGGGGGAGAUUGUUGGUAUAUAUGGUCCAGCCCAUGAUCAAUGUUCUAGAUUAUUCUAGUAAGCAAGAGAUGAGGCUGGAGCUUGCUAGACAAUUCUAGCAUGUUAUUAAGUUGAUGGAAGAAGCUAGAGAGUACUAGCUUCCUUGGUUGCAAAUGGAAAGAUCUAGAAGCUACAAGUAUGUGGCUAGUCUAGAUUUUUCUAUACUAGAGGUUUGAAGAAGGAACUAGAAACUAGUAGAAUGCCAAGCCCUCACCUAU